UGUAACGAUGUCCCUGAAGAACUCAACGGACUCCGUCAACUCCUCGGCCGUCUUACCCUUCCACUUAACGGCGAGCUGAGGCACGACGUUAUCCUCCAAGUACACUCCGAUCGCCGUGAACUUCACGAAGUUCCCCUGAAUCUCCAGCCCCCUCACCCCUGCGCACGUUAGCAACCAAAAUACCGUCAAGCGGAAGCAAAAGCAAGCAACAAACAUUCAAACAAUCAGAAUCGCGGAUGUAAGCGCCGGAGAUGCGAAGUUUACAAACCUGCGCCGCCGAGGAACAGAGUGUUGGAGGAGCCCGGAGGUUUGACGGACGGUGGAAACGCAGUCGUCUCGACCUGGAGUCCGGCGACCGAUGGCGUUGGAGCCAUCUGACAAUUUUGUUGUUAUUGUGUAGAGAGAGAGAUGGGGUCUGCUUUAGGAAACGGUGGGUUUAAAUAGAGAUGGAAAGUGGACGGGAGAGGGUUUGAUGAGUAAGAAGAGGCAGUUGGGUGGGAGCCUUAAAAAGGUGCCGGCGGCUCAAGGGAGUCCGGGUUUGAUGAGUAAGAAGAGGCAGUUGGAUGAGUAAAAGAUUCAAUUUUAAGUAAGCAACGAACUUUUCUAAGUUAGCUGGUGAUGGGUCCAUCUUGGGUGAUGUGAAAGGGUACGGUGGCAGCUACUACUUUAAGGGUCAUCAAAUAGUUUUAAUUAUGAAAACAACGAUUUAAUUUUGGGGGAUGUGAAAGAGGUUAGGUGGACAGCGGACCUUUACAUAUAUGUAUUUACUGUUUAGCUUUUUGUUUUUAAUUAGUGUGCUUAAAAAAUAAAAUUAACAACUAAAAUUAAAAAUCUUAACAAAUUCAUAAUAAAUAUGUAUGAACUAAUACUAAACUAGAAAACUUACAGAAAUUCUGAAAUUGCUGUUGAUGGCCUUCGCUGGCUUGGGUGGCAUGAUAAAGUUGAAUUUGAUUGAAUUUGAUUGAAAGUAGACUAAUGAAAAGCAAUUAGGUAUAUUAUAUUUAGGAAUAGUAUUAUCUUCCCUCUUUUUUCCCUCCUCUCAUAUUUGAAUAGUCACGAUUAAACCAUGUCAACAUCUUAUAUUAAUUUUUUAUAGCAAACGAAAGACAAAAUAAGAGAAUGAAAGAGAAGGGGAUUGAAAGGGAUGGAAAGAGGAGGUGAGAGAAUCAUAUUCCUUUGAAAGUAGACUAAUGAAAAGCCAUGGGCUUUAUUAAAUUUCAAAUUGUUUGACUUUUUAAUAAAAGAUGGUGAGUGCUAUCACGUGAAGGCUCUCAUGUGGGUUUUUAAUUUUUUUUUUAAUGACUUGGAUCACAAUGACGUAGUUUUGGUCAAGUCGUUUAAAAUAAAAAAAACCUUUCUUCUUCCUCCUUCAGUUUUGCACAGCGCAGCAGCGACCACUGCUCAGACUUGGGUGGUCCUAAGAGGUCUUCGCAACCAUUUAUCCAAGCUUCUGGGUGGUCACGAGGCCACCCUGGUCCCGAGACCAUCCUGGUCCCUUAGUAAAUCUGCCUCUGCACAUGAUAUAGUAAAUUUAAUUAAUUCAUAUAAUAUAUAAGAAGCCAAUUUGUAGCAAAAGUGAGCAGGAAAGAUGUCAAAAUCCGAUGCAAACUCCAAAACUAACCAUUUAAAAUUAGGAUUACUAACCGUCAGUGAUCCCUUGGGGGAUUGCGUGAAAAGAAUGGAGGCACCGGGCAGGAAAUUUUGAUCGUUGAAGACCUCAAGGAACUUUUCAAUGGCCUUUUCUUUUGCAUCAGUGUAAAUUCCGACUAAUUUUGAUUGUUGUCACUUGAAUGAAUUUCUCAAACGAACCUACAAAAGGAUAGCGAAGAUCAUAAACCGUGCUACAAAACUUUAGUCAUAUCUUUAGUAACUGUUUAUUAUGCCUCAAGUAAUCACCACAACUAGAAGAUAGCACUACAUUUUGAGAGAUUCAUUCAUUCUAAUUGGCUGGUCAGGACUAAAUUACCACCAUAACCAUAAGCAUACAUAAAAUUAAAAAUGAGAGUAUAACUCAAGAAAUCUACAACAUUUGUUGAAUGUUACAGAUCUAUAUUGGCAACUGAGAAAAGGGCGGGCUAUAGGAUUGCCUAGGUUUGGCAUGACUACCGAUCAUUCUAAAACGAGGAGCUCAAAUCAAUUUACCAAAAAUUACGGAAGGCAUACGUGUUACCUGUAACAAUGUCCCUGAAGAACUCAACGGACUCCGUCAACUCCUCUGCCGUCUUACCCUUCCACUUAACGGCGAGCAGAGGUACGACGUUAUCCUCCAAGUAUAGUCCAAUCGCCGUGAACUUCACGAAGUUCCCCUGAAUCUCCAACCCUCUCACCCCUGUGCACUUUAGCAACCAAAAUACAGUCAAGCGGAAGCAAAAGCAAGCAACAAGCAUUCAAACAAUCAGAAUCGCAAAAAAUAUGUAUGAACUAACACUGUAACACAAUCUUCGACAAAAAAGAAAAAUACAAUGUAAUAGAAUUCAAGUAAUAUCAAAAAAUCCUAGCGAAUGAACAAUAAAUAUGUAUGAACUAACACUAAAAUAGAUAUGAAAAAAUCCUAAGAAAUUAACAAUGGAUAAGGCUGAACUUUGUUUAAAACCCGUUAGUGUGUGAUUGUUUGGCUUUUUAUAAAAAACCCUUACCAAAAACCAUUAUCAAAGACCCUUACAUAUAUGUAUUCACUGUUCAACCUUUUGUUUUUAAUUAGUGUUCUUAAAAAAUAAAAUAAAAAACUAAAACUAAAAAUCCUAACAGAUUAACAAUAAAUAUGUAUGAACUAACACUAAGAAUAAGUAUGAACUAACAUUAAACUAGAAAACUUACAGAAAUUCUGAAAUUGUUGUUGGUGGCCUUCGCUGGCUUGGGUGGCGUGAGGAAUAGGCAAUUAGGUAUAUUAUAUUUGAUAAAGUUGAAUUUAAUUGAAAGCAGACUAAUGAAAAGCCAUGGGCUUUUAUUAAAUUUCAAAUUGUUUGACUUUUUAAUAAAAGAUGGUGAGUGCUAUCAAGUGGGUUUUAAAUUUUUUUAAUAACUUGGCUCAAAACAACGUCGUUUUGGUCAAGUCAUUAAAAAAAAAAAACCUUUCUUCUUCCUCCUUCAGUUUUGCACAGCGCAGCAACCAUGGCUGCUGCUCUUCUCUACCACUGCCCAGACUUGGGUGGUCCUAGGAGGUUCUCACAGCCAUUUAUCUUAGCUUCUCUUUGGUCCCGAGACCACUUUGGUCCCUUAGUAAAUCCGCCUCUGCACCUUAUAUAGUAAAUUUAAUUAAUUCAUAUAAUAGAUAACAAAUUUACCUAAAUCCGUCUAGACGGCCUAGGUGCGCUCGCCUAGAUCCCGCCUAGCCGACUAGGCACUAGGCGCCAGCCCAUCGCCCAACCAGCGCCUAGCGUUUUUUAGAACCUUGGUUUACAUGUCAAUAAUGUUAUAAUCCAACGUGUCAAUAAUGUUACAAUCCAACGUGUUAUAUUUCAUCUAAUUUUAUAUUUCAUGUAAUUUGGUUUGAUGCUGCUAAUCUUUCUGUUGUUGAAGGAUUUAGAUUGUGUAACAAUUGAUUAGUUUGCAGGAGAAUCAAGGGGAAUUUAUCAAAUAUAGCCAAAAUUUAGCCUUUAAUUUCAAAUAUCUCAAUUUUUAUAAAUAUUUUCAAAUAUAUCUAAAAUCUCACUUAAAUAGACACAAAUACUCUCAAAUUUAAAAACCAAAUAAACAAAAGAACCAAAACUCUAUUAGGUGAAAAAUUAGAGAAUUUGACAGCAAAACCCUAGGCAUAAGAAAUGGUGGAGACAUGUGCAUAAGAGAGUGAAGGCAUCGGUUAGUAGGAAACGGUGGAGACUUGUGUAGCUGUAAACGACGGUGAGUGUAGAUGGUUAAUUUUCUUGCAUAUUUUCUUGUCUAUGUUUUUUCUUUGCUUUUGUUGUUCUUCCUUUGAUUAAAUAUUUAUUGAAGAAUGAAUUGUCAAUCCUUGUUUACGUUUUCUCUUUGUCAGACGUUGUACCACAACACUUGUAGGUAAAUUUUUGGAUUUUGCACUUGUUUGUGUUUGCUUUAGAUUUGCGGUGGACCUCAUGGAGUAAAUCAUAGCUCUUCCUGUGUAUUACGGUGUUUAUGAAUUUGUUAGUGCAAGUUGAGCAAGAUCAACCAGUUUUUCAUGCCGCAUUUACAAACAGAAUCAAUCACCUUCAUAGUCCUCAAUUCAUGAGUCAGCAACACUUUGAUUGUAGCACUAGAAGUCUUUUAGUCAAUAACUAAUUAUUCAAAGAAAUUGAGGGUAUUUGUGUCUAUUUAAGUGGAAUUUUGGAUAUAUUUGAAAGUUUUUAUAAAAACUGUCAUUUAUGAAAUUAAGGGUCAAUUUUCGGCUAUAUUCGAUAAAUUCUCAUAAUCAAGUGACACAAAGAAGGAUCGAAACAAGUGGGGUGGUGGAGAAAAGGAUUGUUCACUCUUGAUGCUUGGUUCUAAGGCCAUCUCCAACCGAAGGUUGGCCAAAACCCUCUAAGAAAUUAAUAUUUUAAUGAACAGUGUAGGGCCAUAUUCCUUAGGCCAUCUCCAACCGAAGGAUCCAGAGGGCCAGACGCCCGAAAAUUAUCUCCAACCGAGGGCUAGGCCAGAGAGGUCGUGGAAUUUUAGAGGGCUCCACGGAAUCUGAAAGGGCUUGAUGGCUGUAGGGCUGGCUACGGCUGGCCAGAAAAUUGAUUAAUCUUGUCGAUUAUAACCGACAGUAAUACAUUUAUAUUAAAUACAAUAAAUGUAUUCUUGUCGGUUAUAACCAACAGGAAUUCUUAAAAAGACUUUUGAAUCCAACGGCUAGCUGGCUCCAGUUACCAAUGGAUUCAAGUUUUUUGUUUUUUUUUAGGUUUUUUGGGGCUUUUGGUGAAACACCCUAACCCCAUUUUAUUUAAAAAUUGUUUUAAAGCCUUAAUUGGUGAGCCCGUGGGACCCACUUUGUUUUAUUUUUUUUGUGUUUCCCGGUCUCUUUCUCUCCUAUCCCAGUUCUCUUUCUUCCUCUUCUUCUUCCCUUUCCCGUAUACCCCUCUCAACUCUCUCUCUCCAUCUCUAUCAACGUGAACACCCACCACCAUAAUCACCGCAGCUACUCUACUCGAGAACAUCAUCAUCAUCAAGCACUGCUCUAGUCUUUCUUCCAUCGCAGCGAGAUUGGUGAAAGCAGAGAAAAGGAACCUCCGGCGAGCACCGCCCCUUUUGAGGCUAUUUCAGGCCAAACCACGGUGAUUUGGCCGGCGUGUAAGGUAUCAAUUUCUUCGUCUCGUCGAGAACUACAACUUUCCUUUUUGUUUCACUUGAUUUCGUUGAGUAUUGAAGAAGUUAUACUCAUUUGAAUCUUACCCAGUUUCCAGCGACCUCAGUGGCUUUCGAGGCAUUUUCCGGCCAAACCAUGGCAAGUUGGAUGUCGUGUAAGGUAUCAUUCUCUUCGUCUCUUCAAGGGAUACAACUUUAUUUUUUGUCUCGCUUGAUUUCGUUGAGUAGUGACCAAGUUAUAGCCGUUUAAAGUUGGGUGGUUUUCCGGCCGAAUCUCCGGCCUUCUUCUUCGGCAAAACCAGGCCUCUCAGGCCCUUUAGAAAACCCCACGGGCCUUAAGCCUGUUAUAUCUUAGCCCAAAACCCCAGCCCACAUCCUUUUUGUUUUUGUUUAUUUGUUUUUAAAAACCCAAAGGCCUUGGGCCGGUUUUUGGUUAAGGGGCUCUAAGCCCAACCCUUUAAUAAGGCCUUAGGGUCGGCCUCUGUGUGUGUGUGUGUGUGUGUUGUGUGGGUUGUGCACUGCAUGUGCAGCCCGUGUGUGUGUGUGUGUGUUUGUUUGUGGUGUGUGUGUGUGUGUGUGUGUGUGUUUGGGGUUUAAGCCCAAACCACAUUUCUUCACCCUAAACCCUUUUAACCCAAAAACCUUAGAAAACCCAAAACCCAAUAUAUCCUAAUCCUAUUUAACCUAAACCCUAAUCCGGAUUUCAAGCCUAAAACCCGAUAGACCUAAUUUGACUAUUGACCCCCGGUCAACGUUGACUUUAGGGUUAACUUUUCAGGUUUUCGUCCGGGACCCUUCUUAGGGUAAUUCGACAUAUUCAAGAUGAUAUUCCUUGGUGUAUGCUUCUCGCAGACGAUAUAGUGUUGAUAGAUGAAACUCAGGAAGGGGUAAAUGCAAAGCUUAACCUUUGGAGAGAAGUGUUGGAAUCUAAAGGUCUUCGCCUAAGCUGAUCAAAGACAGAAUAUAUAGAGUGCAAGUUCAGUGCAAAUGGAGGCCAAAACGAGUUAGGGGUGAGGAUCGGAGAUCAAGAAAUACCAAAGAGCGAUCGUUUUCGUUACCUAGGAUUUAUCUUGCAAAAGAACGGAGAAUUAGAUGGAGAUCUCAACCAUAGAAUACAAGCUGGAUGGAUGAAGUGGAAGAGUGCAUCCGGCGUAUUGUGUGACCGUCGUAUGCCACUGAAGCUCAAGGGAAAAUUUUAUAAGACGGCAAUAAGGCCGGCGAUGCUGUAUGGCACAGAAUGUUGGGCGGUGAAGCAUCAACAUGUACACAAAAUGGGUGUAGCGGAGAUGAGGAUGCUUCGUUGGAUGUGUGGGCACACAAGAAAGGAUAAGAUUAGGAAUGAGGAUAUCCGGGGUAAAGUAGGAGUAGCCGAAAUUGAAGGAAAGAUGAGAGAAAAUCGGUUACAGUGGUUUGGACAUGUGCAAAGAAGGCCUAUUGACGCUCCGAUUAGAAGAUGCGACUAUGGGACAGAGGUUCAGGGCCGAAGGGGUAGAGGAAGACCUAGGAAAACUUUGGAAGAGACUCUAAGAAAAGACUUAGAGUACUUGGAUCUAACGGAGGACAUGACACAGGACCGAGCACAAUGGCGUUCAAAGAUUCAUAUAGCCGAUCCCACUCAGUGACUUCGAUUUUCCAAGUCUCCAACCGAGAAGUUUUCCUCACUCGGGAAAUUAAGGGAAUACUACCUCAACCUACAUGCUCCACUCACAAAGCUUUAACAUACAAGCUUCAACAAAAGAAAAUUCAGAGAACUUAGCGAAGAAGGCUUUGGUGUAUUCAACACAAUACGUUGAAAUGAAGGAAAGCUAUUUAUUGAUAUCCCCGAUAAGUCACAAAUAUGUACAUAUACAUGAGUCAAAAUAAACAAACAAGAGGGAGCCUUCACAAAGGUUGCUUAGGAGAAGUCUCAGUAGUCGGUAGAGCCCCAGAAAGAGCAGGCACUGGAGGGGGAUCAUUUGGAGCCUCAGUACUGGACAGAACCCUAGAAGGAGGAGGCAGCAGAGGUUGAUCAUUUGGAGCUUCAUUACGCGGUAUAGCCCCAGAAGACGAAGGCAAUAAAUGCCUUUGGAACAAACCCACAAAUCUCUGAUGAUCAAGUAAAACCUGACCAUCAGAUUCCUUCAUCUGGUCAAGCUUCCUCUUUAUGUUUGUAGCAUAGUCAUGUGCGAGCCGGUACAACUGUUUAUUCUCAUGCUUGAGCCCUCUAAUCUCCUGUUUGAGACUCAUCACUUCAGCCGCCAAUGAUUCAACUUGGCGGGUUCGAGCAAAUAGGCGUUGGGCCAUGUUAGACACAGAACCUGCACACUGAACACUGAGAGCCAGAGAAUCCUUAACAGCCAAUUCAUCAGACCGUUUGGAAAGUAGUCUGUUAUCUUUGGGAGUGAGAAGGUUCCUGGCCACUACCGCAGCGGUCAUAUCAUUCUUCAUCACGGAAUCCCCAACAGUAAGAGGACCAGUAGGGGAGACGAAGGAUGGGCGCCAUAUGUUGUCUGGAGAAGGCGUGGCUGCCUCUUCAACAAGGUUCAAGUCAAAACGACGGUCGGAGGGGCCAUACAUUUUCAAAGGUGUUGAAGAGAGAAGAGGUCGGACAAAUCAAGAUCUUAGAAGUGCAAGAAUGGAGCUUUUACUGGUGGAGAUUCAAGUGUGCUUUGGAACUUAAUGCCAGCCUCUAUAAAAAUCUGCACUCGACGGAGCUUCAGAAAUCGAAGAGGCGUUUGCUUUCUCAAAAGCUGUGCUGCUCAGAGACCACGAGACGUUUGCUUUCUCAAAAGUUGGGCUGCUCAAAGACCACGAAGGCCGAUCUCAGAAAUCGAAGAGGCGCUUGCUUUCUCAAAAGCUGGGCUGCUCAGAGACCACGAUGGCUGAUCUCAGAAAUCGAAGAGGCACCUACUUUUCCAGCCUUGUCAGCACCUGUCAGCUUUGCGGAAAUUAUGGGCAUUAUGUCGAAGAUUUCUGGUGAAGUAGAAAGCACAUGAAUCUUACUGUUCAAUCACCCACUUCCCAUACGCAACAUUAGCUCAUGGGUACCACAGAUAACUUUGCCAAAGUUCUCUGACAAAGUUGAGACACGUGAAGCUUGCAGCUCCCACUACACCGCUCUGACCAAGAAGGGUAAAAGAAUAGCAGAGAAACAGCACUAAUAAAGUUUAGACACAUAAAUUUUGAAGGUCUAGCUACCAUAUUAUUACCCACAAGGGUAAAGGAACAGUACCACUGCUGGAUAAUUGGAAAGUCCCUGUGUGUCAACCUCUGUGCUUCGUGGCAAGAUAGACUAGCAAACAUGCCCAACCUUUUCUUACAUUCGAGAAAACACUCCCAACAAGACUGCUUGUUCCAAAAUCAAAGAGGCACCGCCCUCCGAAUCUCGAGAGCCAGACUCCCAACAUGAUUACUUUCUCAAAAAUCGAAGAGACACCGCUCUCCGAAUCUCGAGAGCCAGACCCCUAGCAGGAUAGCUUUUUCAAAAAUCGAAAAGGCAUCGUUCUCCGAAUCUCGAGAGCCAGAUCUCCGACAGGAUUGCUUGUUCGAAAACCGAAGAGGCACCACUUUCCCAACUUCAAGAGCCGGAUCUCCUUGGAUAAAGUUUGUCUGUAAUCUUUACACGCAACAUCAGCUUUCCAGAUACCACAGACCAUUUUUUCAAAGUGCUCUGACAAAGUUAAAACAUGUGAAGCUGGCAGCUCCCACUACCGUGUUAUGACCAAGCAGGGUAAGGGAAUAGCAUUACUACUUGUUGUUAGGGAGACUCCUAUAUAUGUUGACCUCUAUCCCCAACAGACAGGCAGACCUGCAAAAAUGGUCAACCCUUCCUCAUAUCUGAGAGGGCACUCCCAAAGAAGCCUUUCGAAAUAUUCAGCUUUCUUUCCCCCCGAUAAUACCUCUGCAAACAAGCUAUACUAGGGCAAGAAUAUCUCAUAUCAUCAGGGUUAAAAGCAAGAGUAUCCCAUAUCAUGUUGUUUCCCUGUCUUUUCCUUUGGCCUUGUUCUUACCUACAAGACAAGGAGAAAGAGAGCAAUCAGUCAGCACUUGGAAUCAAGCUUCCAGUCAGGAACUGACUGCCUGGAACCCCUUACUUGAUUACUUACCUGGCAUUGCUCUCGAGUACUCAUCUUCAACAUCUUAUGCUUCCAGGGAAGAUACCGCAUCUGCCUGAGGAACAUAUAGGGCAAGUGAGAAGGAUACAAGGAAGCAUGUGGAGACAAGCGUAACAGCACACGUGCCGAUACAUCCACUACUCUGUCCAAAGCAAAAGUAUCCCAUAUCAACAGGGUCGAACGUACUAUAGAUUUGAUGGACUUGUUUUGACCCUCAAAUUCUUCAGUCGGCCUUAUACUCUGGGGGAAACCAGAAAACCCUCCAGCUCAGUUCAAGAAUAAGCCUGUGGAAAGUUACUUCUUCAAAAGCAAAAGUAUCCCAUAUCAUCUCUUCUCAUUUUUCUUCUCUUUAUCCUUCAUGCUGCCUGCAAGAUAGGGAGAAUGUGAACAAUCAGCCAGAACUCAAAAUCAAAGUUCUGAUCUGGGACUGAUUGCUUGGAGCUAUGAUUGCUUACCUUGUCUGUCACCUCUUUCAACAGAUCCCCUAGCUCGGCGACUUGGAGGACUCCUACUACAUGGUUUGUAUCGCGCUUGACCAAGCCUGAAACUACAAGUAAGUUUCAAGUGAAAUUGAUACAUUAUCUUGUGCAUCUCCACCAGUUAAAGAUACCACCCCUGGAUGGAGGAAGAGUACUUCCAGAGAAGAUGCCACAUCUACCUACGAGACAGAUAAGGCAAGUCAAGACGAUACCACACUCCGGAACUUAGAAGUUUCGUGAUUACGAGAUCAUUCUCCCAUAAUAUUUCCUAAUGUCAUUUGUACUAAAUCAUUCACUUGUACUCACUAAAAGAGAGCUUGAACCUAUGUACUUGUGUAAACCCUUCACAAUUAAUGAGAACUCCUCUAUUUCAUGGACGUAGCCAAUAUGGGUGAACCACGUACAUCUGGUGUUUGCUUUCCUAUCUCUAUCCAUUUAUAUAUUUAUCCACACUAAUGAUCGGAGUAAUCUAGCGACGAUCACAAAAAGCGACCGUUUUCGCUACCUAAGAUCUAUCUUGCAAGAGAACGGAGAAUUAGAUUGAGAUCUCAACCAUAGAAUACAAGCUGGAUGGAUGAAGUGUAAGAGUGCAUCCGGCGUGUUGUGUGAUCGUCGUAGGUCACUGAAGCUCAAGGGAAAAUUUUAUAGGACGGCAAUAAGGCCAGCGAUGUUGUAUGGCACAGAAUGUUGGGCGGUGAAGCAUCAACACGUACACAAAAUGGGUGUAGCGGAGAUAAGGAUGCUUCGUGGGAUGCUUCGUGGGAUGUGUGGGCACACGAGAAAGGAGAAGAUUGUGAAUGAGGAUAUCCGAGGUAAAGUAGGAGUAGCCGAAGUUGAAGGAAAGAUGAGAGAAAAUCAGUUACGGUGGUUUGGACAUGUGCAAAGAAGGCCUACUGACGCUCCGGUUCGAAGAUGUGACUACGGAACAGAGGUUCGGGGCCGAAGGGGUAGAGGAAGACCUAGGAAAACUUUGGAAGAGACCCUAAGAAAAGACUUAGAGUACUUGGAUCUAACGGAGGACAUGACACAAAACCGAGCGCAAUGGCGUUCUAGGAUUCAUAUAGCCGACCCCACUUAGUGGGAAAAGGCUUUGUUGUUGUUGUUGUUGGACUUUUUAUGUGCUUAGGGGCAAUUAUUGUGACGUUUCCGUCUUCGCUAGUGGCGCAGCUUUUAGCAACUAAGUACUGUGAGUGGACCCCUUCUAAAAUUACAUGAUUUUAUAGUAAAUGCAUAAAUGAUUAGCAUGCCUACAAAUUUAUGAAUUGAUUUAUGUUAAGCCUGUUUAUGAAAUUUAUUGAUUUCGUCUCGUGUUUUGGUGAGGAAAUGAAUUGUUAGCCUAGUUUGUGCUAUAUUUUAAUAUAUCUUAUUUUCUAUAAAAACCAUGAACUGGUAGACUAUCCGAUGGAUGACGAUAGGAUGCUAGAACAUGUUUUAGAAACCCCUCUUUAUAGUAUAGACAAUGGAUGACUUUAUACUAUGAAGUGGUUAUUUAUGAGAGGCGUAAAUAUUUGUGCGUACCUAGUAGACACUAUGCCGCCUGGGGCGAGGAUCUGGUGUUGGCAUGUAGGCCGGGAGAAAUAAUCCCUAACGAAAGGCUGAGGGACACGGAGACAUGGGCCGGGAGGGAGUUAUCUCUGGCUACGGGCACAGAGACUGAGGUGCAGGCAUUGGGCUGAGAGUUAUAUUUAUUCGGUGAUCUUUCUAGCAGCACACCGCGUUUACGAGACGAUUUAUGAUACGUUUAUUGUUUUGAUUUCCUCGAUGCGUUUCCGCGAUAUGACUUUUGACAUAUUUGGCAUGCUAGGAUUUUUAUUAAAUCCAUCACUUACUAUGCUAGUAGUUUUCACUAUUUAAACUUUGGGGGUUAGUAUGUUGAUAACUGUUUUAUUAUUAUUGUAUAUAUAAACUUGGUCCACUCACUUUUGUUUUGCGCCCCCAUUCAGGUCAUAGAAAUGAGGACUACGACUUGACGUACGAGGCAUUCCCCUACCAAUAGCACUCUAUCACUCACUUGUGUGAUAUCUUGUAAUGCUCUUUCUUUUUUGUAAAUCUUGGUUUAGUUUGUGUCUGGUUCAUUCUAGAUACUUCCUUGAACUUUGUUAAUUAUUCUUAAAUUCUGAUGUUAUUCAUGAAUAUUUUCUUCUAAUCAUUACUCUUAUAAUCAAUUAAUGGCUUUCGUCACACUCAGGUGUCGGCCAGUACGUGCCUAUCCUGAUAUUCGAGGAAUAUCAGGGUCGGGGCGUGUCAGAUUGGUAUCAGAGCCAGGUUUGUUCAGAGCAUACUUAGGAUUCUCUUCUAUUCUCAUAAAGUCUUGGUUUUGACAUCAUUUGGAUGUCACGAUUUCUGGAUUUUGUGCCAGUCGGUGCAGUUGUGCAAACCUUUCUCUGUUUGAAUUGUCAUCUUCUGGUUGAAAUACAAGAAUUCGUGUCGGGAUUGUGCCUCAUCGAUGACGUGUUUGAUUUGUUGGACGACUUUAAACAUCAGAUCGAUACUCAGCGACAUGUUUUAGAAAUCUCAAUUUGAGGAAUUUUGGUUAAGACCAGCCGUAGAUUCGAAAUGGCGAUGCCACUCUGCAACAUGCGUUCCCUAGGAAUUGCAGGCGAAAUCGGCUCUACAUCGAAAUCUUUGGAAACUCCUCAGUAGUAAACACUAUUCUCAUCAAUUUCCAAAUUGAGUUGCAAUUCUUGUUGUUGUUGUAGUUGGAUUUGGAUGAUGAAUAUCCAGCCUUGUUUGGAUAAACAGAUUCCUUGAAUUUCACCUGGGUCUGGUACUCGACGGAAAACCCUAGUUCCUUGUCCGCGAGUUUUUCAGGGAAGGUGAACUUAGUCCCUUGCUUGCAGCCUAGCUGUUCAGCUUUGUAAUUUUCAGUGUAAUGGCUUGAGACUUUAUCAUAUUCAUCAUUAUAUGAAGAUCGAGCUUUACUCUGAACUUCUCUGGACUCAUUGAGCUUUGGUUUACUCAAUGGGCAAAUCAAUUUUAAGGUAGCCAAUCGUGCCACUGCAUGCAUACGCAGGUUGUUUUGUAUCUUCCUUCUUCGCUAUUCUGCUGAUUCAGAGAUUCUACAUUUAAUUUUUGAACUUUGAAACAGCUCUCACAAAGUGUUGUAUUUCAAAAUUGUCUUACACGUCAAAUCUUAUUAUCAGUUCUUAAUAUUCUUGAGUCUAGACCUAUUUCCUUUGGUAGAAACAGUUGACCAUACUGUGAUGAUUUGCAAAAUAAUCAUAAAGUGAAUUUGUAUUUCUGCAUCUUUAUCUUCCUUCGUUGUGGUUUCUCAAUGUAAAUUGAAUCAUGCCAGAACAUAUAUGGAGGUUUUGUAGCGUGGUUUUGUUCACAUCCUGAUUUUCUUAAUCUAUCUUUUAUGGAAUUGUUUGACUCUUCAGAAUUCUUGAGAUUGUUCAGCCUUUCCGACUGUUCUCGCGUCAAUAGUUGAGAAUUCACGAUUGAUGGAUUCGACGAAGUGUGCGCCCAAUUCCUUAUCGAUUCGGACAUAAGUUGGGAGCAUAAUCUUUUACAAACUUACCAGACUACCAGAAGAAUCCAAUGUGGGUAAUGAGGUUUAAGUUGUAUUUUUAGAGACGGUGAAGACUUGUGGUACAAGAGGUCAGCAAUUGUAUCACUCUUACAAGAAUUCAUAGGCUCACAUCGUUAUUUUCAACGAUUAUGUGUUCGUCUCGCGAUAUUUCCACGCUUUACUUUCAACCUUAUUGUUGAGUACAUAUCUUUGUUAAACAGUUCUAGCGAUCUGUUUGGUGCAUUCUGGAUAUCUACAGGAAUCGGUUUGAAGCGAGAAUUGGAUAAUCCCUUUACAUUUUCCGAAAUGUGCAUGUUCUCUUUGUUUGUUACGGAUGACCUAUUUUGAGAGUCGUUCUUCUUUCCACCAAUUUUGAUCUGUUUUGACUAAGAAAUCUGGCAACUCAAGCAAAAUUGGAGAUUGUUUAAGCACACGAGCAGUUCCUUAAGAGAUCUGGCUGUUAGAAGAUGAUUCUUCGGAACUUGCUUGCUUUGGUUCGACUUUGGCUCUUACUACAUGGUGCCACUUCUUCUUGAAUCCCAAGUACGAGUCUCUCAGAAUUGGGUUAUUAUUGGCAAAAUCGAUUUAUUACAUUAUGGAAGACGCUAAGGAUUGAGCUUGGGCUGAUAAUUUUUACGACAGCAGUUUCUGUUUUUUUGGUUGGUAUGGCACUGUUUGCCGGUGUAACCGAAUUUCUCCAGGUACUUGGGUUUGUUCAGAAGUUGUGCGAGCGUUGUAUUAUUUUCAAUUAACGACGUGUAAAAUUUGCAUCCUCAGAUAAAUUUGCUGUUAUAGGGCAUUUGUGUGAAUGAUAUCACCCGGCUCCUUUGUUGAAUAUCGAUAGCUUUAUUUGUGGAUUAAAGCAGUGGUGGAAUCGUCUAAGUAGCUGACGCAGAUCUCAGAAUGUUAUUCUUGGUUUCCCAAAGAUACAUUUGUAUUCUCGAAGUGGGUGACAUUUCGAAUCCUUGGGUGGACCUCCUCAUUCUUCCAAGUUUGAUUUUAGUAUAAAGUAUUGAACUAUUUACUCAGUUUUGUUUGACAACAAAUGUUGAAAAGUAUUUCUGUUUUUUCAUUUUUAAGUUGAUCGAGUUUUUGGAAAUAUGUUUAGUACAAUCAUUUCGUUAUUCCUUAAAUGUGUUCACUUAAUCAUUAAGAUGUUUUCCAAUUUUCCCUGAGGGGAAAAAAAUUUUGAGCCUGGAGGCAUGAAAAAGAAUCAUUCAAACCCCAUCGCGAGGCAUGCCAAUUCUCUUUUGUAGCAACGUUCGGGAUUUCUUCGAAACGUAGUUAUAAAUGUGUAUCUUUCGUAUUUUCCGAGUUUUUCAGUUCCUGUUAUUUUAAUGGAGCUUUUUUAAAAGGGUGGUAAUUGAAACAUCAACCCAUUGAUUUUUGUUUAAAGCUAAUGGUGAGCCGUGGGGCACUUGUUUAUUUUUUUAGUGUUUUCCCGGUCUCCCUCUCUCCUAUCAAGUUUUCUUUCUUCCUCUUUCUUCUUCCGCUUUCCGUAUACCCCUGUCAUCUUUUCUGUCCUUUCCUAUCACAUGAACACCACCACAUAAUCACCUGACUUUCUACUAGACAAUCUCAAUCAGCACUGCUCAGUUACUAAUGACGAGAUUGUGAAGCAAUGGAACGAGAGCUUCGUAUUCUCAGAUCUUGCGGUUAUUAUCUUCCUUCGCCGUCGAGAAUCAAACUUUAGUUUUGUAACACAUUUCCUCAAUUGAAACGUUAUACUUCUCUUACCAUUUCUGGCGACCUAGUGAAAGAGGCAUUUUUCGGCAAACUGGAGGUGGACGACUAGUGAAGGAACUGUCUCUUAGGGCUACACUUUCGGUCUCGCUUAUUUGUAGUAUACAAGUUAAGCCGUUUUGUGUUUUUUCGAUGAUCUCGGAAUUUUCGCAACUGUUGCGGAAACCCAGCUUAAAGCUGAAUAUCUUAGAAAACCCACCACAUCUUCAAUGUUGUAUGCCAAUCCGGAAUGGUAACAUAGCAAUUUCUGCAGUUUGUGUGUGUUGGUUUUGUACUAGCACGCAGUAGUUAUUUGGUGUUUUGGGUUGACACCCAAAAAUUGUACAACCCUUUUAAGAAAAACUUGCCAAUCCCAAAUACCUAAUCACACUACAUAUGAUUCGAAACCGCAGAUUUUACCAUGAUCGUUCACGUUGACUUUACAGGGGGACCGAUUUCUCCGGAUUCUAAUUUGUAGAACUUAUUUUUGAACAUUGCAUUAAAGAUCAAUGAUGUGCUGGGAACAUAGAAGAUUCGCUCUAUAGUUUACCUAAUAGUAGUAUUCUAAAUUCAUGAUUUAUGUAAAUUGAUAAAUCUUAGCAUGCUACAAAUUUUCAUUAUUUAUGAAAGCCUGUUUAGAAUUUAAAUAUUUUUGUGUUUUCUAAACUUAAUUUUUAGCCUAUUUUGGAUUUUUAAUUAAGUAUUUUCUAUAUUUCAUGACUGGUAGUUAUGUGACUAGAUGUAGAAUGUUUUAGAAACGAUCCCUCUUUAUAUAAUAGAGAUAUGAUUUAUUUGGUGGAAUUAUGUAGACGUAAAUAUUUUGACUUUAUCUGCCUUAAGGAUCUGGUGUUGGCAUAGGCGCGUUAAUUGAAUAACAAAAGGCAUUGGCCUAUCUUGACCCACGGACAGAGAAAGGUGAGCAUGGAGGGAUUAAAGAUGGGAUCUUUUGCAACAACGCAGAGCGACGGAUCUUCCGGAUUGGAUGCAUUUUUCUUUUGAGAUACCAUGCUAUUUUUUCUCUCUUACAUGUUCUAGUAGUUUCAUAUUUGCUUGGGGUAUUUUGAUCGCAGAUUAUUGUAUAUAUAAGGUAUAAUUUGGUUUUGCGCCCUAUCAGGGAACGAACUAAAUUUGUUCCCUAAUUCACCUAAGAUUGUGUGAUUCGAAACCCCAAAUCUUUAUAUUUGUGUUGUUUUUAAAGCCUUACUUAGGUUAUACUCUAAAUGGAGGAGCAAAAUAACAACAACUCUUUUAUUUUUUUUUUGAGAUUCACCUUAUCAACUACUUCUACCAAUCAUCCCAAGUUUUCUUUUAUCAUUAUCCUUUUUCCCUUUGUAGUUACCCCUGUCAUCUUAUCUUGUCACUUUUUCUUAUCUACCUAUUGAUCAACCACCCACGAUUAAUCACCAUGUUGCACAUUUGUCGAUACCACUUCAUUAAACAUUAAUCAUCAAUUCUAAGUUAUUGCAUCUAGUUCUUCAUAAUUCCUAGUAACGCUCAGCCGAAGAAUUGGCUCGAAGCAGAGAAAAAAAAGUGACAAAAUCUGGCCAUAAAAGAAAACUAUCCCUAAACCAAAGUGGGCUGGGCAAUGGAAAAAACAAAAUAAAAUAAAAUUUGAAAUUGGGGCUAACAGUGGGCUGGCUGGCUGAAAGGUGGCCAGUCGGUGGCCCUUUCAGAUUCUGUGGGGGCCCACGAGCCUUUAGCCUAACCUCUUGGUUGGAGAUGAUUUUCGGUAUUUUUUCGACUUCUAAGCCCUUUUGACCAUUCGUUGGAGAUGGGCCUAAGGUUUGCUUUAGUGAGGCACGUCGGGGAGUAAGUGUUGAGAAUAAAGUCUCACAUCCGUGAGAUGAGGGACUUUACAUACAGCUUAUAAGAGGUUUGAGCUACCUUUUCCAUAUUGCCAAAUUGGUUUUAUGAUGAACCCCAACUUUUCUUCAGCGUAUCAGAGUAACGGAUUGUCUCACUUAUGAAGCCAAAGAACGGCCACUGUGUGUCACGUUACCCAUGUUGUGUUGUCCACAGUAUGUUGCCGAAUGAGAUCACCAUUGAUGGACAAGGAGGGACCUUCCAAUCUCUAAAACAUUGCAAGAUAAGAUUUGAUACAUAAAUGGAUUUCGGAUUUAAUCUAUUUAAUGAGAUAAUGAGACAAAGACACAAUAAUCAGAAUCGUACUAAACUUUUCGUGGUUUUUCAUUGGUUUAUUGUUUAAAAAAAUCAAUUCGCAAAGAAGAGAUAUUUUACCUAUUUCUUUUGGUAAAUUUGUAGAAGUAGAAAUAUGAUUGAAGUGAAUCGUCAAUGUUUUUACCGUUUGAAGAAAGGAAUAUUAAAGGCUGCAAAUGUCCUGUGUAGCGGAGGAUCUAAAGAUAUUGGAAGGGUGCCUUCUUGCCCAAGAGAAAAAUCACUACGAGCUUAAAACGAGGAGUUGACAAAGCAACUUGGAGGCAUUUCUAAACGAGCCCUAUGGCCCUUUGGCCCUCGGUUGGUGACGGAAGCAAAUAUGACUCUGUACUGUUCAUUAAAUUAUUAAUAUCUUGGAGGGUCAGAGGGCUAAAAUGAGCCAUCUGGCCAGCCCUUGGUUAGAGAUGGCCUUACCAUCUCCAAUUGAGGGCCAAAGGGCCAUAAAGCUUGUUUUAGCACUGUCACAAAAAACUGUCUCCAACCGAGAGCCACAAGGCUAUAGUAUGGAAUGUGAAGAAUUGAGAUAAAAUGAGGUAAUAUAGUAUAAAAUAGUGAAAAAUAUGUGAGAAAUUGUGUAGGAAAAAAAUUAGAAAUAAAAAAAAAAAAAAAAAAAAAAAAAGGGCUGUUGGGCAUAAAAACAAAAAGUGGGUUGGGACUGGGACCAUAAAAAAAAAAACUAAGCCCUAAACCCUAAAGUGGGCUGGGCAAUGGAAAAGAACAAAAUAAAAUAAAAUUUGAAAUUGGGCUAACCAGUGGGCUGGCUGGCUGAAAGUGGCCAGUCGGUUGGCCCUUUCAGAUUCUGUGGGGCCCACGAGCCCUUUAGCCUAACCUUUGGUUGGAGAUGAUUUUCGGGUAUUUUUCGACCUUCUAGCCCUUUUGACCAUUCGAUUGGAGAUGGCCUAAGGUUGCUUAGUGAGCACUCGGGGAGUAAGUGUUGAGAAUAAGUCUCACAUCGAUGAGAUGAGGGACUUUACAUAAGCUUAUAAGAGGUUGAGCUACUUUUCAUAUUGCCAAUUGGUUUUAUGAUGAACCCCAACUUUCUUCAUGGUAUCAGAGUAGGUUGUCUCACUUAUGAAGCCAAACGGCCACAUGUGUGUCACGUUACCAUGUUGUGUUGUCCACGUAUGUUGAGAAUGAGUCACACAUUGAUGGAAGGAGGGACCUUCCAAUCUCUAAACAUUGAAGAUAAGAUUUGAUACCAUAAAUGGAUUUCGGAUUUAAUCUAUUUAAUGAGAUAAUGAGACAAAGACACAAUAAUCAGAUCGUACUAAACUUUUUCGUGGUUUCAUUGGUUUAUUGUUAAAAAAUCCAAUUCGCAAAGAAGAGAUAUUUUUACCUAUUUCUUUUGGUAUAAUUUGUAGAAGUAGAAUAUGAUUGAAGUGAAUCGUAAAUGUUUUACCGUUUGAAGAAAGGAAAUUAAGGCUGCAAAUGUCUGUGUAGCGGAGGAUCUAAAGAUAUUGGAAGGGUGCCUUCUUGCCCAAGAGAAAAUCACUACGAGCUUAAAACGAGGAGUUGACAAAGGCAACUUGGAGGCAUUCCCAAUUCUAACCUGUAUUUUCGAGCUGCGGGAGUCCGUUCAAGCCUUGCAGCUAGUCCUAAGUUCGUCGGGUAGAUAAUGAAGUGGCAGAUGUUGUUGCAUCACAACAAGGAGCGGAGAUGAGUGAUUUUUUUUCUGUUGUUAGACCCCCAUCUUCGUUUGUCAGGAUCUUGAACAAGAGGGGCUUGUCAUAUCCACUAGUUGAAGUGAGUGAGAAGUGUGAGGGGAUGAUGUUUGGCCUAUCUGUAGAGCGGCUUUCUUAUUUCCAUAUCCUUCUUUCUAUCAUGUUUAUUUAUUUGUCAGCCUUCAAUUUGAUUUUCUGUAUUUCAGUUGUUUUUCCUCUGUAAAUGAAUUCCAGUUUUACCAAAGAAAAAAAAGCACUCAGGAGCAAGUUACUACUAGGCUGAUAAACUGACGGCAUUUUGUGGGGGUGCAACUUUGGGGCAAAAGAUUCGCGUGCUUUUAUAUGCUUCAGACUAUUUUUCUUGCUUCCCAGGAUUUUGUGUGUGUAUUUUUGUUUUAGGGUAUAGGAAUUAGGGUUUUUUUUUUUUUUUUAGGUUAAUUGAAUGUGAAGUGACAAUUGAAAUGCAAACCCCAUAUUCGUGGAGAUAAGAUGCGACAUCCAAUAAAAAGUUUUUUUUUUUCUUUUUUGAACAAACGAUUAUAUUUUAAGUUUACUAAGGGUAUGUAUGCUUCUGAUUUUCCUUCUAUUUUUUAAUUAUUUUAUUUUAUUUUGGGGAAGAGAUUGUUAGACUAAGCAAGUUUAUAUUAAAAUCAGAGUACACCUAUUUUUUGAUAUAUUUUUUUUUGUAUUUGAACAAUGGAUGUUAUCGUCUGCACCUUGAUAUUAUGAUAUGAUGUUAUUCCGUUUUUGUUUAUUGAUAUUUCACAUUAAUGGUACUAUAAACAUACAGAUAAACGAGAAAACAAAAACAAGUCUAUUUUAAAUCCGAUCUUUAUCCGAAAUAUAGCCAACAAUUUAUCAAAACCACUUAAAUACUAUCUCCGUAGCCUCCGAAUAGUCAUGAAACUCACUAGAAUUGAAUUUAACACUUCUCACUUAUAAGUGGAGAAGAAUGUCAGUUAACGAUCUUUAAGUUUUUUAGAUUAUCUAAGUAAAUGUUUUUUUUUAUUAAUGAAUAAUGGCGUAAGCAUUUAGCUUUAAGUCAACGACCAUUACGCUAUUUUCUGCUUUGUUUUUUGGCAAAACGGUUCUCUCUUUGCUUGAUUGUGUUUGGUGAAGGAAUCUCUUUGUUUCAUACAGAUUAAGAGCAGGUUAAUACAGAUUAACCAUGAUUAAUCAUCAUCCACAGCAGGAAAUCAAUGGCAGGUUUGUUUGACAAGCAAGCUGAUUUGUACUUGGAUUCGAGGCCAACUUAUCCCAAAGAAUGGUAUUCCAAAUUGGCAGAUCUCACUCCUCAUCUCUCUCUCGCUUGGGAUGUCGGAACCGGCAACGGCCAAGCCGCUAUCGGCGUUAGUAUCACGAUACUACCCCUCUUUCCCUUCUCACUUUGCUGCAUUUCUUUGAAUUCAGUUGAAAUUAUUUACUUUACAAUACAAAUUACAAUACACGCAAGUUAGUUUAUUUUUUCUCUUAAACUAAGACUUUCACAUAGACGUGAGUCAAGAAAGUUGAUCACGUUAGUAUGAUGGUGCCUUUGCACGGAAGUUUGAAUAGCAUAUUAGAAUAAUUUUGAAUAUCGUUUUGUCAGCUCCAUAGUUUCAUAAUAUACAUAUUGGUUGCAUCCCUGCUUUUCUAUGCUGCAUAGACUACUUGUAUGCAGCGAUUGAGACCGAAAAUAUAUAGAUAAUUGACUAUUGCACCCAAAUCUUUGAUUUUCAAAGGAUUAAUAUACAUAUAUAGAAUCAAAACAAAUGAUACUGAGAUUCGCCAGGAGGAUACAUCUCAAAUCGCAAAAGGACGUUUCGAAACCACUUAAGUUUUAGGUGGUGUAUUCAAUUGGGAUUUUGAGGGAAUUUAAUUCUUUUAAUGAAUCUAGGGGUAUUCAAUCUGGAUUUUAAGUGAUUCUCUGAAAUUCAAUGUGUAUUCAAUCAUUCAAUCAGGAUUUUAAGAUAGUUUAUUAAAAUCCUUAGAAAUCCAGGUGUAUUCAAUUAGAAUUUGAAAGAAGUUCAUAACAUUUUAGGUGUAUUCAAUUAGAAUUAGAAUUUAAAGAAUUUGGAAAAGUUGAGGAAUUAGAGGGAAUUGGAGAGAUUUUGUUGUGUAUUUUAAGCAUCCACAAAUCUCACAUCUCCCCAUGAGAUUUCGAGGGAAUUAAAUCAAAAUUUUAUAUGGAAUCUCUACAAAUCAGUUAAACUCCAUAAAAAUCCAUGAAUAUAUAAAUUCAUUAAAAUCUCUCAAAUUCCCAAUUGAAUACACCCUCCUAGAUUAUAGUCUAACGCAUUUCACACAAGUAUAGAUCAUGUUGACUGUUGCUAAAUGUUACCACAACGAUUGUGCACGUUAAGUUUGACAAGAGAACAUUCAUUGCUCUAAUAUGUAGACUGUAUGUUUUAAUAAAAAGGUUGCUGAGCACUAUAAACAAGUGAUUGGAACCGAUGUGACUGAAUCCCAGCUGCAGCGUGCAAUGCCACAUCCUCUUGUUCGAUAUGCCCACACGCCGUUAACCAUGACAGAAGACGAAUUAAUAGCCUUGAUCGGGGGAGAAAGUUCAGUGGACUUGGUGACUGUGGCUCAAGCUGUGCACUGGUUCGACCUACCAAAGUUUUAGUCUUGUUUCGCGGCUUCUGAAGCCAGGAGGCGUGUUGGCGGUUUGGUGCUACAAUCACAUCGAAGUUUUUCCUGAAUUUGAACCUAUUGUGAAGCGACUUGAAGAUACAACCCUUCCCUAUCAUCAUUGUAACAUUCAGUACGUGUUUGAUGGUUACAAGACGCUUCCUUUUCCUUUUUAGAGCGCUGGUUUCGGAUGCGAGGGGAGUCCAUUGGCGCUGGACAUUCCAAAGAAGUUGUCUUUCGAAGGGUUUUUGAAGAUUGUACGGUCAUGGUCUGCAGUUAAUACAGCCAAAGAACAAGGCGUGGAUUUGUUGCCCGAAAAGCUGGUUAAAGAGUUUGAGGUUGCUUGGGGCGGCACCAAAUUAGUCAGGUCUGUCAGCUACAAGGCUUUUAUGCUCGCCGGAAAUGUUAAGGUGUGAUCUUGUUGGGAGGGUGUGCGGAUCAUUUCCUCCUACAAACAAAUAUUACUUUGACGUUUUUAUUGAAAUUUCUUCUUGUGUUUCUUAUGAGUCAAUAUAUGUAUCAGCUUGUGAUUUGCAUACUAUAGUGUAUAUUUAUAUAGACUUGUGAGAACUGACUUGAAUCUCAAUUCAGAAAAUAAACACAAGAAAUUUUUUAGCUUUCGCACUCUACCUCUUUCCUCUUUCACCUAUUUAAUGUGUGAAAUUCGUCUCAACCAUUGAUGAGUUCAACUCUUUAAAUACAUGUGACAUAUAUCAACAGUUAAUCAUCAUUUACAUGUGCAAUUUUUCUUACCAUAAUAUUUUGUUUUUUAGUCUCUCUGACGUAGCAUGAAGCUAAGGAUUACAAGUGUAAUCCCUGUAGAACCAAAAAUUUCUGGAAUCCACCAGUUUGGAGAGAAAUCCCAAAGGAUGAUUUGAUUAAUUGAUGAUUGAUGAUUACAUUGAAGCAUCCAUGGACUUAAAUAAAUGGACUACAACUCCCUGAGAAAACUUAAAUGGCUUAGGUAAUUUAAACGAAAGCAAACGACAUUAACUAGACAUAAAUCGAGGUUCGGUUUUUAUUACAUAAUCUCAAAUGCUGUUUUCGAAGCCUAAACGGUCUCGCAUGGCUAAAAUUCACCAUGUUUUACUGCAAAGCUGUGAGUUGGAACCACGGCGUUGUUCCCUUCUCAAGAAGGUAUCAUGGCUCAAUUCAGAGCUUGGAUGCCAAAUCUGCAAAUUUAUGCUUCAUCCCUUUGUCUUUGGUUAGUCAAUUUCCUCUUCAAUUCACUCGAUCAUUUGUUCUACAUCACUCUCUCUUUGUUCUUAAAGAAUUGGCAAAAACUUCAAUAAUGAAUCAUGCCUCUACAACUACAACCCCAAAGGACAAAGCAUCAAAUUCUAUUUACCCAGUGAGGGCUCCUUCCCUCUCCGAUCUAGGUCAACAAAAUCAUAACUUUAUCACCUAACGGUGGACCAAGUUUUGUGAUUUAUACUUUGAUUAAUAAAUAAUUUACGUAGUAAACAAUGGCAUGCAUUUGUUUAAGAGUUUCGCUUUCGUUAAGUCUUUGUCACAUUUAAUUGACGGACAUUCUAAUAUAUGAAGUUUGGGAAAAGACAUGUUGCCUCUUGUUAUAAUCCUCGAUGUAGAUGUGGAAAAUAAAUAUUUUGUUCUUCAUGAACAUUAUAUCAUUAUUUUUUACUAUUAAAUCCCAUGUGCCGUAUCAAUUUGUAGUUCUAAGUCGUUAAUUUAUGUGACCUUCAUUAUAAAAAAUUCAUAUGAACUACAUUUGACAGUUAUUUAUACAGACAUGAACGAUUCCCAUUAGCAUUUAACUUUCAUUAAGUGAAAAGAUAUGUUGCCCUAUUAUUAUGAUAAUUGAUGAUAAAUGCAAAAAGAAAAUUACAAAUAAAAUCCUUUACACGGACAUUAAUCCAACGUAUAUGGUUAGGCUAUGCAUAGAAGAAACAAACAAAUACAAGAAAUUGAAUUAAUGUGUAUGCAUAAAAGAAGCUUCCUUGUGUGCCACUGCCAUGUGCGGGAGUGGAAGAGGGAGAAGAACUCUUCGAAUCGGCCUCUACUCUUGUGAACACUUCCAUGGCACUCACUAUCAGAGGUAGGGUGGACCCACUGGCCAACGCCAUUGUCACGUUAAUUAUGGGACCCACAACGGUCACAGUAUACAAAAUGAUUACUUUGCAUUCUUCAAAUUUAAGUGUUGCCGUAGACUUUUUCUGACCGUUGAUGUAGAUGUUGAUGAUCCAUGGUAUCAUUUGGUUUGGGCAAGGUUGCCGUUUCGGCGAAGUAGAGCACUAUGUAAGCCGAUUGUGGGGUCGAGUGGGGGAGAUGAUUGGAUCAGAAGGUUUCAGUGAUUGGAUGGAGUCGAGAAGCACCGGAAUAGGAGGGUCGUUCUCUAUUAAAAGGAGGGGAGUGGCUACGGUAGGGACUUGGACGCAGUUUGGUGCGGUUGUACCUUUCCUCACUCAAUGGUUCUGCGUACCUGCAUUGAUUUAGCAUUUUGUGUCCAUUGUCAAUCAAAAUCCAACUCAUUUCUACAAUAAUCGAGGAGAGACUUUGGGUACGGAAGCCCGUACAACGUCAUUUGUUCGCGAAAGACACGGUCGAAUGUUAGAAUUUAUUGUUGAUAUAUUAUGAAUCUCACAUGAAUUAACAAUACACAUACAAGAUUUUGUAUCUAAUUUUUCAUGUCAAAAUUUAAUGAGCAUAUGAUUAGGGUAAGGGCAUAAACAACUAUAUAUAAUAUAGGAAGCCUUUAAGGGAAGUGUUUGGACCCGAUUUUACAAUAUCUUCCCGAGCAAUCGAGGCCGUUGAGUGAGCAUGUUUCUAGACCAUCGGAUAAGAAAGUUAAGAUAAUUUUGUUGUUGUUAAGAGAUAAUAUUAUGGUUUUAAUCAUAAUAAUUAUCUUUUAAUAAAUUAUCUUGAUUUUCUCGUACAAGAUAAAUGGAAUACAAAACAAGUCUACGAGAGAUUCACGUUUGUUGAUGCACAAAACCGGAUGGUCUUGAAACAACGUAAAUCCGACCGUGAAUCUGCAAGAAAUGUAAAUGACAUAAGAUGUAUCGUGGUUCACCCUAAGGUUUGGGCUACGUCCACACUGAUUGUAUUUAUUUGAGGGAGAGAGAGAGCUCUGAGAGUGAGAGCAUUGAGAGGGGGUGAGAAGAGCCUUAGGAAUUGGUCUCCCCCAAUUGUGAGGGUGAGGGGUCCUUUUAUAGAAUAAGGACUCCUCACUUAUUACAUAUUUUCCCCUUCCUUUAUUACAUAAUCACAUUUAAGUCCCUCGAGUAUUUAUAUGAGGUCUAAAUACGAGACCCUAAAUAUGGUAUAAACAGUAGUCCCCAAAGUCUUCAGUCAAUUGAGUCUUUUGGCUGGAGACUUGAAAUUCAGUCCAUGUGUGGGUCGAAGUAACUAGAUGUUGUCUUGAACUGAUGCUCGAUAUGAGGCAGUGCUCAAUCUGAAAUGACGCUCAACUAGAAGUAGCAUACGCUGCAAGGCUGCUCGGCUCGUGGCUUAUGUUGCCUUGGUUGGCUCGGCUAAGGUGAGGGAGUCCCUUUUAUAGAAUAAGGGCUCGCUCCUCAAUACAUGAAUGAUGGGCUAGAGUUGAUGCUCUCUAAUGGUGGUGAGGGAGUCCCUUUUAUAGAAUAAGGGCUCGUUCCUCAAUACAUAAGUGAUGGGUUAGGAGUGAUGCUCGCGGCGAGGCGGUUGCUCAGCUGGCGGAGUUGCUCUCUAAUGAUGGUGGGGGAGUCCUUUUUAUAAAAUAAAGGAUCGCUCCUCAGUACAUGAAUAAUGGGUGCUCUCUAAUGAAAGUGAGGGAGUCCCUUUUAUAGAAUAAGGGCUCGCUCCUCAAUACAUAAGUAAUGGGCUAAGUCCCCCAAGUAUUUUUCAUGAGGCCCAGUUGAGGCCCAAUAUAUGGUACAUAAUGUAGUCCACCAAGUCUUCGGUCAAUAGAGUCUGUUGCUGGAGACUUCAAAUUGAAUCCGUGUAUGGGCCGAAGUGGUGGUUUUUCGGAUGUGGUAUUUGUAUACCCUGCACUGAAGCUUUGUAGGUGAAGCUUUGCAAGUGAAGCUUUGAAGCUAGAGCUCUGUAAAUGAAGCUUUUCGAAGCUAGAGCUUUUGUAAAUGAAGCUUUUAAAGCUGUAGCUUUGUAAAUGAAGCUUUUGAAGCUAGAGCUUUGUAAAUGAAGCUUUGGAAGCUAGAGCUUUUGUAAAUGAAGCUUUUGAAGCUAGAGCUCUGUAAAUAAGCUUUUGAAACUGUUUGACAUGAGUGAUGCUCAUGAAUGUUUAUGACAUGAGUGAUGCUUAUGGAUGUUGUCAUGAAUGAUGCUCAUGAAUGUUAACAUUAGUGAUGCUUAUGGAUGUUGUCAUGAGUGAUGCUCAUGAAUGUUAACAUUAGUGAUGCUCAUGAAUGUUGACAUGAAUGAUGGUCAUGAAUGUUUAUGUAUGAUUGUCAUGAGUGAUGCUCAUGAAUGCUUAUGUAUAAAUGACAUGAGUAAUGCUCAUGUAUAAUUUGGAGUACUGGGCGUACUUUUGAUCACCUGGUUGGUGGCAUGAAGGAGAGUACGGGUUGUACAUUUCAUCACCUGGUUGGUGGUAAUAGCGGCAGGUUACCGAAUAAUUAUGGAGUACUGGGCGUACUUUUGGUCACCGGGUUGGUGAUAAUAAAAGGUUUGGCUCUUUUGAGCAUAUGGGCCUUCGCCCUCCACAUGACAUUGCAGCCCAUUAUUUUGGGCUUGCAGUCCAUUAUUUGGGCUUUUUUUUUAUUUACCUUCUGAUGGGGUUUAUACAUAUUACCCUAUGAUGGGAUUUAUACAGAUGUUUCUGAAAGAUAAAAUAAAUUACAUCAUUCUGGUUGGGUGUUUAUUCUUUGUUUUUGCAGUGUCCUCAUGUGCCUCUCUUCUUCUUUUCUCUUUUGCAGAUGGCAGACAAGGAAUGAUAAGUACAUUAAUCUUAUCUCCGCUUUUGCACGAUUCCUCAUGAUCACAGCCUCCACCACCUCUCCAUACUUCCUGAAAUAUUCCUUGAGCCGUUUCUUAUCUGUGUCCCAGGGAAUCCCUUUUUUUUCUUUUUCUUUUCCUUUACCCUGAUCUCUCCGCCUCCAGACACACUCACUUGCUUUUGCUUUUACUUUCCCAUUGCACCUCUAUUGUAGGCCCAUGCUCUUCCCCUAAAUCCUAAUUUUACUGUUGCUCUUUUACCUAGUAAACCUUCCUGAAUACUUGUUCGUUAGACAUGAGCCAACUGCCUCCAUCACUGCUUGAUUAGUAAAAUUUUCUGAGGUAAUAAGCUCAAGAUUCUUGAACUAUCGGUGCUUGGGUUCUAACGGGUCGAGGUAGGAGAGGAUGCGGCAGUCGCCGAUGAGCUCCAAGAAGGGCAUGUAAAUACCGGUGAAGAUGUAUUUCUUCUUGACUUUCGAGACAUCGAAGGGCAACGAGAAGCUCUUGCCGUCGAGGAGAGCGACGACCUGGGACUUGUAGGUGACGGUGGGGCCCGGCGGCAUGUUGAUUGGAAAAAACCUGAAAGGGUAGGUUACCUGACAGGAAGCUCUUCCCACUGGCCGUGCUGUUGGAUGAUUGAAAAUUUUGAAGGGGUAGGUUAUAGACCCAUCAAAGGUGGUGGACGUCGGUCACAGCUCUCUCGUCGGGGACAACACCUUUCUUGGUAGCAGCUGGAGUAAAUGGGACUGUCAUUGCGCCAUGUUCCAUUCUGACAAGGCAAACUUUAACGCCGGGACGGGUGGCACUAAGUGUUGUUGACAUGGUUGUGUUAAAAACCGACAUAAUCGAAGCUCACAUCCACGUUGGAUUUCAUGGCUGUCUUGAUCUGGGCAAUUUCAUCAUCCAAAUCCUCUAUUUUUGUCGAAAGCUUUGACAGUGUCAUUAGCACCGAGACGACCUUGAAGGGCUUUUUGAGCAGGACCGUCGACGACCUUGAAGGGUUUUCUGAGCACGGAAGGGAGAUGAAGUGCAUCGAUACAACCGGCCUGGACCUCGCUGUAGACGGAGGCGAAUCGACCGGUGACAGGUGCCGGAACUGACUCAACAUCGGCAGCACCGUCGUUAGCAAUUAGUGAUGAUGGAUGAAUGAGUGGUUGAUUUCGCUAAUGUAUAAGCGACUGUCUGGAAGCUGACUGGAGCUUUUGCAGAGAGAUAAUGGUGAAGCAACGUCAUGGAAGCUGUUUGGAGCUUUUGCUUCUGGACUGCGUCCCAUGACUGGUGCAGGGGAGAAGUCAUCAGCAAAUUUGCUAGUUCAAGCCCCGUACUGCUAAUUUGGUUGUUCAUCUUCAGUAGUUUCUGUAGAAAUAUGCUUCGCAGAGAGAGAAUGGUGAAGCAACGUGAGAGCUGGACGACGUCGUUUGAGCUGGUAGGGGAACUAGGAGAGAUGGAACGAGAUCUUAUGAAUCAGAAAGGAAGGUUUGGACUCAUGGGUUCCCAUCCAAAAUUCAGCAUAUGAUUUCUUGAGUUUUGGAGUUUUCCUUUCUGCAUUUUUGAGAUAUGGGUUUUGCAGUGACUUUGGUUUCUGGGUUUGUGUGAUUUUGCAGAUUCACGGCGAAUGUGAAAAAAUGAAAGAGAACCGACAUAACUUUUUGUGUCGAUUCCCACAGACGGCGCCAAAUGUUGAUACACAAAACCGAAUGGUCUUGGAACAACAUAAAUCUGAUCGUGAAUCUGCAAGAAAUGUAAAUGACCUAAGAUGUAUCGUGGUUCAUCCCAAGGUUUGGGCUACGUCCACACUGAUUGUAUUUAUUUGAGGGAGAGAGAGAGAGCUCUGAGAGUGAGAGCGUUGAGAUAGGGUGAGAGGAGCCCUAGGAAUUGGCCUCCCCCAAUUGUGAGGGUAAAAGGUCCUUUUAUAAAAUAAGGACUCCUCACUUAUUACAUAUUUGCCCCUUCCUUUAUUACAUAAUUACAUUUAAGUCCCCCGAGUAUUUAUACGAGGUCUAAAUACGAGGCCCUAAAUAUGGUAUAAACAGCGUUCAUGUGUGAUAAGGAUGUGGAUAUUUUGAAUUAAACAUGGUUUUAUUUGGCUGGAUAAUUGCAUGAUAACCUCAUGCAAUUAUAUUGGUUUUGAUCCUGUCAAACAUGGAUGAUUUUUCGUGGACAUUUUAAAUAGGUACUCAUCCAAUUUAAGAUGAGGGCUGAUGGAAGAUUAAUCUGCGCAUGCAAACCACAUCAAAGAUCAAAUAUAAUCCUUUGAAGAUCAAGCCACGUCAAACACAUGGGAGAUUGAAAUUGGACUCUACUCAAGGAUCAAGCCACGUCAAGCAUGCAUGUCUCUAUAAAUAGGAGUGGUUGUGCAACAACAAAAGGACCUCCAACUCAACACACAAACUGCCAUGCUCAAAUCCUCGCUUUACGCGAAACCUCUCAAACAUCUUGAGAUUUUUUAUUUUAUUUUUCGCCAACACAUCUUCAGUUUGGAUAAAUAGCACUGUGAAGGCAACCGGCGAACAUCUUCAGUUUAGAUAAACAGCACUGUUGCCGUAGAAUCAGCCGACCGUGAAGCACCUUCAGUUUGGAUAAACAGCACUGAGACGGGGCCGACUGGUUAUCUAUCCAAGUCUUGGUCGAGAAUGAUUUUCAAAUCCUUAUUGGCAGAUGUCAUCUCGUUAGCCUUCUCGGCAAAAAGAUGUGUUACAAGUUACUACAUUCGGCACAUUAAAAGCCGAAUUUGAUAUUGAAUUUCGCAGAACUAGCAGCCUUGUAUUCAGGCUCUAGAACCCGAAGGUCAAGACGUGUUCCUUCCUCGGCUGCAGUCGCACGAUCGAGAAGUCAGACGCGCAUCCAACGCAACAUCAACAAAUUUAACUCUUCAACCGAGCUCGGCCAACGAGUUGGCACGCCCCGCAUACAACCGAAUGACGUAGUUAGCUUACUAAUUACUCGGCCUGCGCGCCACGUAGGCUUGGUAGUUUUUAGGGUCAACAGGAAGAUAUUCCUUUUUUUUUUUAAUUUUUUUUUUAUAAAAAUGAGAAUUAGUUGUGGGGUUCACACAACAUUGAACUUUAACGAUCCGAACCGUUUAUUUUUCAAGUUGUACCUCAUAGACCAUCAUUCAAAAAUAUUAGCCAAAUCGGUAAUAUUUAAGACAUCUAAUUGGGCUUAAAAAAAUAAACGAAUACUUUGUUAUAUAAGAAACAAUGAAAUUUGAUCUUGAUAAUUAAAUAGGCAAAUGGUUUCGAAUUGAAUUGAAUUUUUCCGAGGAUGAUCUAUGAAACAAAAUAGACAGUUCAGAUCGUUAAAAUUCAAUGUGGAGUGGGCCCCAUAACUAAUCCUCAUUUAAAAAAAUAAAUAAAUCUUUUUGCAUAAAGGGCCUGAUAUAUAUAACUAUUUUACCUACCUCUCAAUGUUUAUGUGACACUCGCUUUUACAUGGUUAAGCUCAUAUGGAAUUUUUGAGAACUCAUAUGAAUUUAAAUUUUUUCGAGUUGUGUGCGAUUCUAAUAGCACUUUGUGUUACAUAUAAUUCGCCCUAUUUCUCAUGUCAAUGUUCAUUCCGACACAAUGCAACAUACGAAAUUCAGUAGUCACUUAUGUUGUGUGAUAAAGAUGCAGAGAAUAAAAAUGGUAAAUUGACACUAAUGAUUUUGAGAAAGGUAUACCUUACUUCAUUGCCACCAAGAUUAACCGGAGAUAUUAGAUCAUAAGCGUAACUGGUCUUCAUCUUAGGGUACAAUGGACCAGUUAGAACAUAUAUUGGAACAGCUUCUAUUGAAGAUACAAAGGGAACCAUUCCCUUCUCAAACUGCACAACACACACAUUUAGUGAUCCUGACCCUUGAUUCACAUACAUGGCUUCAUGGUACAAUGGCCCUUCCGCCAUUGAUGCUUUGACCGUUGACCACUUUCGGCCGUUGAUACAAAGAUCAAACGGCGGAGGGCGGGAGAGACCAUCAUAGUCUCCGUAGUAGAAGCCCGCCCUGAUCAAGUACCGCUGAGUAGGUGCAUUGUAAGGCAAAACAUAACAAUUUUGCUGGUUUUGGUUAGGGAAUGAUCGGAGGGUGUUCAUUGCUUCAAGUGGUUGCUUUUGUGGAACUUGCUUGUUGAUGCCUGCCUUGGUGUAGUCAUUGUCUGUGACCCAUUAGAGUAAGUUUUAUCCCAACGUGUAGCAUUGCUACCGCAGUCAAUGUUCAGCCAUCUGAUUGUAACUGCGAUUUAAAAAGCAAUAAUCAAGAGCAAGUUUGAUGUACGCGGUCAAUCACAAUCUAAACUAUCGAUCAGGUGACUUUGUACUCGAAUGAAUAUAUAUGAACAAGAAUUGAGAGUUUAGUAACAUAACGACAUGACGGAGGAAAUAAAAAUUAUGCGUUGCAAGUUAGACGUACUAUGAGACGAAGCGCGGAAUAAAUGGAAGGCUAGAAGAAGCGCCGGUACCCAUAAAUUUGUAUUCAUAGAGAGUGGCUUGAGUUUUAGAAUUGAGAAUGAAUUUCAGUGAGGGAUGUUUGGUUUAUGAGGUUAGAUUUGAUUUAGUUAUGUGACUUAUGUCAAUGAAAAUACCCUCCCCUGGAUAUCUCCACCGCAGAGACUAAUAUUAUAACAUAUAUAUACACACACACACACUGCUGUGACAAAUAUAUACAUACAUGUCGCAGUGGCACUAUUUCUUGAAUUUAUCUCUGUUUCGUUAAGAAAUAUCGAAACCAACAUUGCAAACUUCAAACUUUUGAUCUAAAUAUAAUUAUUUAAUAAUUACCAAUGGGUUUCCAUAGAAAUUUAGUAAAAACAAGACUAGCUAGUGGCUUAACCACAACAAUUCCAUUCUUCUGGGGGUCGGAAAGACUCAUGAGGACAUUUUAGACUCUCUUGGCAACCAUCUUGUGAUCGAACCUAGAAUGUAUCGUAUAUAAAAUGGGCCGAUAAUUCGUUAAACCUACAAAAAAAAAAGUCAAAGACAUGUGAUAUGUAUUUUUACCACCUACAAAAGUAAGGAUAAAAACACUUUAAAUACUUGCAAGAGUACAAGGUAAUUGUAGUAUAAUCGGCUCUAGCAAGGUCGUUCUCUUCAGGGAUUGAAUGAAUAAUUUGUAUCUAAUCAAAUCUUAAUUAAUUACUUAAAACAAAGUUUUGGAAAAAGGUGAUUUUGUGAUUUCAAAUAAUAAAAACAAAUUUAAUAGAAAUAAAGUGACAAAAUAAAAUAAACUAAAAGAAAACAAGUUUUGAAAAUUAAAUUGUAAAAACCUAGGGUUCCGCCGUCACCUUACAAUCUUAUGUAAUUCUUUCAAUUACUUAUGAAUUACAAAUGCAUAUUUUGAAGCCUAGGUUUUCCUAAUAUAUGCCUACUUGGACCCCCAACAUAGAGCGUAUAUCAAACAUGCAACCCGUCUGUGUUAUUCAAAUCAAAUCUAAACAUGCAUGACUUAUUAAGCUUUGUGAAACCUUUUAAAAAACCAUACAACCCUUAAGACAUGGUAUUCAUCCUAAGUGAACUUGCACAUAUUAAUCACAAGAAGCAUUCGUCAAUUUCAGGGACUGACCUCUGACCAAAAUUGCAUCAAAUUAUUUUUCUAAAGAUCUUAAUGGUAGCUAAGCAUUAAGACAAAUAGAUAGUUUAAACCAGUGAUUAAUAAUUCAAACGUGCAUGCAUAAUAUCAUAACCAAAUUGAAAAGAAACUACAUAUUCUUGCUAAGGUUCGUAGCAUCACCCUAGCAAACGGAAUUUAGUUACAAGCAAUCAUACAACGAAAUAUUAUUAAAUAUAAGGAUAGAAAACACCUUCAAAAUAAACUUGAAUCCAAAAGCUUUCUAAAGUGUGCAUGCAUUUUUUUCCUAUCCCCCUAUCUUCUCUAAAAAAAACCAUAAUGGCUAAAAAGCCUUAUUUAUACUACUAGAAAAUAAAACCCUACCUAGAAAAAGUCUUAGAAUAAAACUAGGAAACCAAAUAAAUUAGGAAACAAAAUCCGACUAAUAAAAUUCACCCAAAAUCUGCGUAGUCUCAAAAUAGCCACGUUUCUGGAUCUUCGGGGAUUCAAAACAGGCCUAAAACGGCUAGAAUUAAAGCUUGAGAUGUCCCGAGCAUAAUUGUACAAUGCCUCGAACCCGAAAGACACCAUAUUGGACACCAAAAAACCCCAAGAAGCCCAAAACGUCACUUUGACAGCACUGUGCGCUGCUCGUUUAUUUGAUCGCCAUAGAUAAAGCGCUCGGUAUAAAAUUAUGAAACUUUGAUACAAUCAAUUCAACAGACUCACGAACAUCCUCCAAUUGGAAUCACUCCAAAAUUCAUCUGUUUGAUCACUUUUGGCUCCGGAGGAAGUCGAAUAUCCUACAUUAAGAAUAUAAAUCAAAGUAUCAAAAUUCUACUAAAAUAACCAAUAAAUUAAUACUAAGAAUAAGGUAAAAUAUAUAGUAUAAUAUAGACUCAUCAACGUGUUAAAGUAAAAAUAUGGGUUAGGGGUCUUAGGCAGUUAACUAGAGCAGUGUGUCAACCCCUUAGCAUUCAAGUUUGAAACUCUUUUUUUUUUUUUUAAUUUGAAUAGUUUAUAUUCUUUGUUUGACAAGACAAAAUAUAUUUUAAAGUACUCAAUUUUAUGGUUUUUAAUUUGAAUAGUUUAUAUUCUUUGUUUGACAAGACAAAAUAUAUUUUAAAGUACUCAAUUUUAUGGGAAGAGGUAAUCGAACUUGGGUGCAAAUGGUUAGACCCUCCCAACUGAUGAUACAAAGCCAGAGAUUUGGUCCAAAAUUUGGGGUUUGGUUGGGUUCAAAAGCAAUGGUACAUGCGUAUCAGAUUAGGCAUAUUUACCAAUCGACAUCCAUAUUUGUUGAUUUGAAUUAAACAUAACAAAACAACACUAAUAUUCCUCAUAAAACAUGAUCAUUUUUCUUUAAAUUAAAUAAGACAUAGCACUUUCCUAUAGCUUCAUAGAUUGUAUGUAAAUAAUUCACUAAGCACAGAACAGGAAUCCCUCUCAAGUUUUAUUUCUCCUCUCAGUUUUCAUGCCUCCACUUUUUCAUUUCCGGCUUCAGCACGAUAAGAUUCCUUGCACCCAUUCAACAAUUCAGAUAACCUCGCGGCCAAACUUUGCUUUGCUGCAGGAGAAACACCGUGCUUUCCAACGAUCGACUCUAGAACUGCCUCGGAAAGUAGUUUGUUUUCUAUCACCGUGUUUGCAGCUUCAGGUACAGAUGCAUCUCUAGAGAAGCUAAUCUGUGGCGAAAGCAAGGGGGAAAGAUGUCAAAAUCCGAUGUAAACUACAGAAGUAACCAUCCAAAAGUAGGAUUACUAACCGUUAGUGAUCCUUUGGGAGAUUGCGUGAAAAGAAUGGAGGCGCCGGGUGGGAAGUUUUGAUCUUUGAAGACCUCAAGGAACUUUUCAAUGGCUUUGCCUUCUGCAUCAGUGUAAAUUCCGAUUGACUUCCAAAAGGCAACGCAAUUCUCCGAAACUUUGUCAGAGUAUUGCUGGCCUGUGAGUGGCAGUAUCGUUGUCACUUGAAUGAAUUUCUCAAACGGACCUACAAAAGGAUAGCGAAGAUCAUAAACCGCGCUACAAAACUAUAGUCAUAUCUUUAGUAACUGUUUCCUAUGCCUCAAGUAAUCACCAUAACCAGAAGAUAGCACUACAUUUUGAGAGAUUCAUUCAUUCUAAUUGGCUGGUCAGGACUAAAUUACCACCAUAACCAUGAGCAUACAUAAGUUUAAAAAUGAGAGUAUAACUCAAGAAAUCUACGACAUUUGUUGAAUGUACAGAUCUAUAUCGGCAACUGAGAGAAGGGCGGGCCACAGGGGAUGAAUAAUGUAACAAUAUUCAACCAGUCGUUAAAACAGCGAAGAAAUCCGUGUUACCUGUAACGAUGUCCCUGAAGAACUCAACGGACUCCGUCAACUCCUCGGCCGUCUUACCCUUCCACUUAACGGCGAGCAGAGGCACGGCGUUUUCCUCCAAGUACACUCCGAUCGCCGUGAACUUCACGAAGUUCCCCUGAAUCUCCAGCCCCCUCACCCCUGCGCACGUUAGCAACCAAAAUACCGUCAAUCGGAACCAAAAGCAAGCAAAAAACAUUCAAACAAUCAGAAUCGCAGAUAUAAGCGGCGGAGAUGCAAAGUUUACAGACCUGCGCCUCCGAGGAACAGAGUGUUGGAGGAGCCCGGAGGUUUGACGGACGGUGGAAACGCAGUCGUCUCGACCUGGAGUCCGGCGAGCGAUGGCGUUGGAGCCAUUUGACAAUUUUGUUGUUAUUGUGUAGAGAGAGAGAUGGGGUUUGCUUUCGGAAACGGUGGAUUUAAAUAGAGAUGGAAAGUGGACGGGAGAGACCCGCUUCUCUGGGAAUAGAGAUGGAAAGUGGACGGGAGAGACCCGCUUCUCUGCCCUCCCACUUUUCAUACACACUCAUCGUUUCUGUUUUAUGAUCACGGUUAAGCUAUAUUAAAAUUUUAUAUUAAUCUUUUUAUAAAAAUAAUAAUAAUAUAAAAAUUUAACCCAACUUAAUACCUUAAUUGUAAUCGUAUAAAUAAAAAAAAGAUAAGAAUGUAUAAAAAAUAAAAGGACAGAGAGAGUCCAGGUCCGGACGGUAGAGGGUUUGAUGAGUAAGAAGAGGCGGUUGCGUGGGAGCCUUAAAGACGUGCGGGCGGCUGGAGGUAAGUCUGGGAGGUGUCCACAAACUGAUAGUCUGGUACCCAGAAAUAGAGAGAGAGAGAGAGAGAGAGUAAAAGAUUGUAAAGAACUUUUCUAAGGUAAAAAGAUAGUGAUUGGUCCAUCUUGGGUGAUGUGAUCAAUUAGUUUUAAUUAAUAGCUAAAAUAUCGAUAAUAUUGAAAAUAUCAGUAAUCUAAAAAUACGGAAAUUUUAAUGGAAAUAUCGAAAUAUUAUCGAUAUCGAUAAAAAUUGAAUAAAAAUCAUGAAAAUUGUAAGAAAACAUUGUAAGUGUAGAAAAUAUGUAGUAAUUAAUUAAAGAAGUUUAAACAUAUCAUAAUCAUUUAUAUAUUGUAUAACACAUAAACCUUAGGUGAAUUUAGAGUAAAUAAAUUUUUUAUUUGUUGAAAUUCCUUGAUAUUUUUUGCUAAAUUUUAGAAACUGUGUGUUUACAAAUAUAUUGAAGCAACUUUUUUUAUUUAACAAUUAUUAUUUAUGAAAUUUGAACUUAUAUAUCUUCUUUUUUUCAAAUAAAGUGAAAUUUAAGUAUAAUUAGACCAAAAUAUUAAAACUUAUUUAAUUUUUGUUAAAAUAAAUAAUAAAUAAUAAGGCAAAUAAAUAUUAAAAACAAAAAACAUUUAAGACAAUAGUUGCCAGGAGAUACCGGCAAUCCUUUAUUACGCGCGUUCCACUUCAGUACAUACAUCGCCACACACAGAGGAAUUAGAUCCGCUUCGGACCUUAGUGUGUUGAGCUUAAGGAUCAAAUUAUCUAGACCGUUGAUUAGUGUGUAAAAGAAAUCGGAACUGUUGAUUUUGUAUGAUAUCAGGAAAAUGAGUUAAUAAGGAUCUUGAGAUUGAAUUUAUAUGGUCCAGAUGAAUUGAUAUCUAGGCUCCGAACACUAAGAUCCGAAUCGGAUCCAAUUCCACAUAGAAGCACACGCGUUUUGUCUCCUUUCCUAAAUCAGCCCUAAUUCCAAUCUAAUCCAAUCCGCACACGAACCUCAAACCUUAAUUCCCAAAAUUUGUCCUCUAAUUCUUGCCAAAGCCCUCAAUUUCUCCCUUUUCCAAUCCCACCAUCUCCUCGUCCCAAACCCCAACCCUAAUCCAGAAGCAGAAUGCUUCUUACUCCGGGUCAUUAUCCUCGCCACCUCUCAUCCCCUUCGCCCUCUGCAAAUUCCGAUGCUUCCAUCCAAAACCCUACGAAUUCCACCCAAAUCACGCCCAAGAACCCUAAAAGCCAUCCACAGGUCCUCGACAAGGACACCUAUGUUGCGCCGAUCGAGAAGAUCAUCGAAAUUGACUUCUUUCACGAUAUUUCCAAGCUUCGAGACCGCCUCGACUAGCUCGAAGCGAUUAACACCCACGACUCAGUUCAGAUCCGAGAUGCCCAGUUGAAGAUCAUCGAGCGCCGCGGAAAGAAUGUAACUCAUAAUCCUGACCCUAAUGGUAGAAUCCCUGUGUUUCCCCCUUCCCCACUCAUUCGAACUUUCUCCCUCAUUCAUCUUCUUGUUUCUUCUCCCUCUAUCUCUGUAACUCUCCUUCCCGGAGCACAAGCACAACACACCCACACCCCACCGUGACCUCCACCACAGUGGCACACACUCCGGUGAACACCAUUACCACCUAUGGACCAUUCCUCCUCCCUUUCUCAACUCCCAGCGAGCACCAUUAGGCAAGAGGAGGCCUUGUUUGUUUUGGGAUCCGGAGAAAAGGGAUUGCUCAUUUUGAUGGGUUUGAGCGUGGAUUGCAGAGAGAGGCACUGAUCUUGGCAACUACGACGAUGGAGCCUCAACUGCAAUUUUGCGACGACGGAGCCUCGGCGAUAUUAUCGAUAAUAUCGCGAUAUAUUGAUGAUAAUUAAGUGGAUAAGUGUGAAAAUAUCGCCCUUUCAAAAAAACGAUAUUAUUGGCGAUAUUUCGCCGAUAAUAUCGAUAUUUUAGACCUUGGUUUUAAUUAUGAAAACAAUGAUUUAAUUUUGCGGUCCUCAAAGGGCAAAGAAGAAGAAACCAACUUUUCUAGGAUCAAAGGGUAGACAGCUACUUCUUAAAGGGUCAUCAAAUGGUUUUAAUUAUGAAAACCACCCACUUGCAUGGGGCUUUUUAUAUUUUUAAAGUUUGGGAUGUAUAGUAUAUGCAUAUAAUUUUUUUUUUUGAUAGAAAAAGAAAAUAUUAUAGCGAAAAAUCUCUUACACAGCUAGUACUAAUACAGUCAAAUUGAAAAGUUAGGUGAGCAUCCACAGGGUGACAAGCAUCCUAAAUACAAAGAUUCGAACAAUUAAGACCAAUAGACGCCAAAGCAUCCCAAAUACAUAAAAAAUUCACAUAUGUAUGUUCUUCUAUAAGAAAUAACAUAUUAUUCAAUAAUUAUUUACACAUGAUCAAUGGUGGAUCCAGGAUUUUAACAUAGGGUGGUCCUAAUAUACAAGUUCUAGAAGAAAAAAAAUCCGACUAAUAAAAUUUGCUCAAAAUCUGCAUAGGCUCAAAACAGCCACAUUUCCGGAUCUUCAGUGCUCCAAAACAGGCCCAAAAUGGCUAGAAUUAAAGCUUGAGAUGUCCCGAAGAUAAUUGUAUAGGGCCUCGAACCCAAAAGACACCAUAUUGGCUACCAAAAAACCCAAAACGUCACUUUGACAACACUGCACGUUGCCCAUUUAUUUGAUCACCAUAAAUAAACCGCUUAGUAUAAAAUUAUGAAACUUUGAUACGAUCAAUUCAACAGACUCACAAACAUCCUCCAAUUGGAAUCACUCCAAAAUUCAUUUGUUUGAUCACUUUUUGCCUCAGAGGAAGUCGAAUGUCCUACAUUAAGAUCAAAUUAUCAAAAUUCUACCAAAAUAACCAAUAAAUUAAUACUAAGAAUAGGGUAAAAUAUAUAGUAUAUUAUAGACUCAUCAACGUGUUAGAGUAAAAAUAUGGGUUAGGGGCCUUAGGCAGUUAACUAGAGCAGUGUGUCAGCCCCUUAGCAUUCAAGUUUGAAACUCUUUCUUCUUAAAUUUGAGUAGUUUAUAUUUUUUUGUUUGACAAGAAGAAAUAUAUUCUAAAGUACUCGAUUUUAUGGGAAAAGGGAAUCGAACUUGGAUGCAAAUAGUUAGACCCUCCCAACUGGUUGACACAAAGACAGAUUUGGUCCCAAAUUUGGGGUUUGGCUGGGUUCGAAAGCAAUGUUACAGGCAUAUCAGAUUAGGUAUAUUUACCAAUCGACAUCUAUAUUUGUUGAUUUGAAUUAAACAUAUAACAAUACAACACUAAUAUUUCUCAUAAAACAUGAUCAUUUUUCUUUAAAUUAAAUACGACAUAGCACUUUCCUAUAGCUUCAUAGAUUGUAUGUAAAUAAUUCACUAAACACAGAAUAGGAAUCCCUCUCAAGUUUUAUUUCUCCUCUCUCAGUUUUCAUGCCUCCACUUUUUCAUUUCCGGCUUCAGCACCAUUAGAUUCCUUGCACCCAUUCAACAAUUCGGAUAACCUCGCGGCCAAACUUUGCUUUGCUGCAGGAGAAACACCGUGCUUUCCAACGAUCGACUCUAGAACUGCCUCGGAAAGUAGUUUGUUUUCUAUCACCGCAUUUGCAGCUUCAGCUACGGAUGCAUUUCUAGAGAAGCUAAUCUGUGGCGAAAGCGAGAGAGAAAGUUGUCAAAAAUCCGAUGUAAACUACAGAAGUAACCAUCCAAAAGUAGGAUUACUAAAGUAGGAUUACUAACCGUUAGUGAUCCUUUGGGAGAUUGUGUGAAAAGAAUGGAAGCACCGGGUGGGAAAUUUUGAUCUUUGAAGACCUCAAGGAACUUUUCAAUGGCUUUGCCUUCUGCAUCAGUGUAAAUUCCGACUGACUUCCAAAAGACAACGCAAUUCUCCGAAACUUUGUCAGAGUAUUGCUGGCCUGUCAGUGGCAAUAUCGUUGUCACUUGAAUGAAUUUCUCAAACGGACCUACAAAAGGAUAGCGAAUAUCAUAAAUCACGCUACAAAACCCAAGUCAUAUCUUUAGUAACUGUUUCUUAUGCCUCAAGUAAUCAUCAUAACCAGAACAUAGCACUAUAUCUUGAGAGAUUCAUUCAUUCUAAUUGGCUAGUCAGGACUAAAUUACCACCAUAAGCACACAUAAAUGUACAAACUUAGAAUACAACUUGAAAAAUUUACAACAUUCAUCGACCACGACAGAUCUAUAUCGGCCUCUGAGAGAACGGUGGGCAGUAGGAUUGCCUCAGUUUGCCAUGACUACCAAUCAUUCUAAAACGGCUCCACCUUAAGAUGCAGGGCAUGAGCAAUAUCUACACUUUCAACAGCAUCAACAAGAGCUCAAAUCAAUUUACCAAAAGAUACAGAAGGCAUCCAUUUGAAGAUUAAUAUGAUUAUAGUUUGAAUCUGACCGUGCAACCGGACUAUGAUAAAUAGAAGGGAAGAUAUAUAUGAAACCAACUUAUCUUUAACAAGUCAUCCACUUGUGUGAACCUUUUUUAAUGUGAAAAUGUACUUAUGAAAAGGUACGGAUAAAGGGUCAAACAUAUAUAAGUUAAAUAAAAUUGUUAAAUAAAGAGUCGAAAAUAUGUAUUCAUAGGUCGAACAUCAAUGAAUUUUGCUCCAAAAGAAGUCAAAAGUUAACUUAAACUCUAAAUUUGACUUAUUUCAUCUCUAAUACACUGAAAAAAAUUAGUUAUAUAUAUGAAUAAUUUUUCGUUCUAUCUGGUAAAUUUAGCUAAAAUUGGUUUCACCAUAGCAUGCAAUUUUAUUCCUUUGCUAAUUAUAACACGACAAAGUAACAAAUUUGCAUUGGUAACUGGAAUUUACUGUCAAAAUUCAAACGGUUGUUAAAACAGCAAAGAAAUCCCCGGUACCUGUAACGAUGUCCCUGAAGAACUCAACGGACUCCAUCAACUCCUCGGCUGUCUUACCCUUCCACUUAACGGCGAGCUGAGGCACGGCGUUAUCCUCCAAGUACACUCCGAUUGCCGUGAACUUCACGAAGUUCCCCUGAAUCUCCAGCCCCCUCACCCCUGCGCAUGUUAGGAAGCAAAGUACCGUCAAUCAAAACCAAAAGCAACAAACAAUCAUAAUUACGGAUAUAAGCGCCGGACAUGCAAAGUUUACAAACCUGCGCCGCCGAGGAACAGAGUGUUGGAGGAGCCCGGAGGUUUGACGGACGGUGGAAACGCAGUCGUUUCGACCUGAAGUCCGGCGAGCGACGGUGGUGGAGCUAUUUGACAAUCUUUCUCAUUUCCGGCUUUGGCAUCUUUAGAUUCAUUACACCCGUUCAACAAUUUGGAUAACCUUUCGGCCAAACUUUGCUUUGCUGCAGGGGAAACACCGUGCUUUCCAACGAUCGACUCUAGAACUGCCUCGGAAAGUAGUUUGUUUUCUAUCACCGUGUUUGCAGCUUCAGGUACGGAUGCAUCUCUAGAGAAGCUAAUCUGUGGCGAAAGCAAGGGGGAAAGAUGUCAAAAUCCGAUGUAAACUACAGACGUAACCAUCCAAAAGUAGGAUUACUAACCGUUAGUGAUCCUUUGGGAGAUUGCGUGAAAAGAAUGGAGGCGCCGGGUGGGAAGUUUUGAUCUUUGAAGACCUCAAGGAACUUUUCAAUGGCUUUGCCUUCUGCAUCAGUGUAAAUUCCGAUUGACUUCCAAAAGGCAACGCAAUUCUCCGAAACUUUGUCAGAGUAUUGCUGGCCCUGUCAGUGGGCAGUAUGUUGUCACUUGAAUGAAUUUCUCAAAGGACCUACAAAAAGGAUAGCGAAGAUCAUAAACGCGCUACAAAACUAUAGUCAUAUCUUUAGUAACUAACUGUUUCCUAUGCCUCAAGUAAUCACCAUAACCAGAAGAUAGCACUACAUUUUGAGAGAUUCAUUCAUUCUAAUUGGCUGGUCAGGACUAAAUUACCACCAUAACCAUGAGCAUACAUAAAUUUAAAAAUGAGAGUAUAACUCAAGAAAUCUACGACAUUUGUUGAAUGUACAGAUCUAUAUCGGCAACUGAGAGAAGGGCGGGCUAUAGGAUUGCCUAGGUUUGGCAUGACUACCGAGCAAUCUAAAACGGCUCCGCCCUAAGAUGCAGGGCAUGAAUAAAGGUCGAACCCAGUGCACAAGGCUCCCGCUUUGCGCAGGGUCUGGGAGAGGUGAAUGUCGGCUAGUCUUACCCCCAUUUAUGGAGAGGCUGCUCCCAAAUCUCGAACCCGAGACCUACCGCUCAUGGGCAUCGCACAAGUGCGACCUCUAUGCAGGGCAUGAAUAAUGUAACAAAAUUCAACCAGUCGUUAAAACAGCGAAGAAAUCCGUGUUACCUGUAACAAUGUCCCUGAAGAACUCAACGGACUCCGUCAACUCCUCGGCCGUCUUACCCUUCCACUUAACGGCGAGCAGAGGCACGGCGUUUUCCUCCAAGUACACUCCGAUCGCCGUGAACUUCACGAAGUUCCCCUGAAUCUCCAGCCCCCUCACCCCUGCGCACGUUAGCAACCAAAAUACCGUCAAGCGGAAGCAAAAGCAAGCAACAAACAUUCAAACAAUCAGAAUCGCGGAUAUAAGCGCCGGAGAUGCGAAGUUACAAACCUGCGCCGCCGAGGAACAGAGUGUUGGGGGAGCCCGGAGGUUUGACGGACGGUGGAAACGCAGUCGUCUCGACCUGGAGUCCGGCGAGCGAUGGCGUUGGAGCCAUUUGACAAUUUUGUUGUUAUUGUGUAGAGAGAGAGAUGGGGUUUGCUUUCGGAAACGGUGGGUUUAAAUAGAGAUGGAAAGUGGUGGGUCCAUUGAGUGACGGGAGAGGGUUUGAUGAGUAAGAUGCGGCGGUUGCGUGGGAGCCUUAAAGACGUGCGGGCGGCUUGGGGGAAGCGUCAACAAACUCAUAUUCUGGAACUUACUACCCCAGAGAGAGAGAGAGAGAGAGAGAGAGAGAGAGAGAGAAUUUAAGGUUAAAGGGCAAAGAAGAAGAGACCCACUUCUCUUAUGUCAAAAGCUGGUAAUGGGUACAUCUCGGGGACGUGAAAGAGGUAACGUGGACAGCUACUACUUAAAGGGUCAUCAAAUGUUUUUAAUUGUGAAAACAAUGAUUUAAUUUUGUGGUUAAUGAAAGUGCAAAAAAGAAGAAACGAACUUUUCUAGGAUAAAAAGGUGAUUAUGGGUCCAUCUUGGGGGACGUGAAAGACGUAAAGGUAGACAGCCACUUCUUGAAGGGUCAUCAAAUGAUUUUAAUUAUGAAAACAACAUACUUAUAUGAAUUUUUUAUAUUUUUAAAAGUUUGGGAUGUAUAUUAUAUGUAUGUAAAGGUUAUAUAAAUUAUAAAUUAUUUAGAUAAUAUUUGUUUUUUUAUCCUAAGCAAGCAUAUUUUAUAUAUAUAUAUAUAUAUUUUUUUUGAUAGAAAAUGAAAAUAUUAUAGCGAAAAACUUCUUGCACAACUAGUACUAAUACGGUCAAAUUGAAAAGUCAGGUGAGCAUCCACAUGGAGUCAAGCAUCCCAAAUACAAACAUUCGAACUAUUAAGAUCAAUAGACGCCAAAGCAUCCCAAGUACAUAAAACAUUCACAUAUGUAUGUUCUUCUAUAAGAAAUAACAUAUUAUUCAAUAAUUAUUUACACAUGAUCAGUGGCAGAUCCAGGAUUUUAAUAUAGGAUGAUCCUAAUAUACAAGUUCCAGAAAAAAAAAAAACAAAAAAAACAUUGAAAAAUAAAUGGCAAACUACAACUUCGACAAAAAAUAUGUAUGAACUAACAUUGUAACACAAUCUUCAACAAAAAAAAAAAGCAUUGUAACACAAUUCAAGUAAUAUCAGACAAUCGUAACGAAUGAACAAUAAAUAUGUAUGAACUAACACUAAAAUAGAUAUGAAAAAAUUCCUAAGAAAUUAACAAUGAAUAGGCUGAACUUAGUUUAAAACCCAUUAGUGUGUGAUUGUUUGGCUUGUUAUCAAAAACCCUUGCCAAAAACCAUUAUCAAAGACCUUUACAUAUAUGUAUUCACUGUUCAGCCUAAAAAACUAAAACUAAAAAUCCUAAUAAAUUAACAAUAAAUAUUUAUGAACUAACACUAAAAAUAAGUAUGAACUAACACUUAACUAGAAAACUUACAAAUAUUCUGAAAGUGCUGUUAAUGGCCUUCGCUGGCUUGGGUGUCAUGAGAAAUAAUAGGCAAUGAAGUAUAUUAUAUUUGAUAAAAUUGAAUUUGAUUGAAAGUAGACUAAUGAAAAGUCAUGGGCUUUUAUUAAAUUUCUAAUUGUUUGCCUUUUUAAUAAAGAUGGUGAGUGCUAUCACGUGAAGGCUCUCAUGUGGGUUUUAAAUGUUUUUUUAAUGACUUGGAGAAUUUUUUCAAGCAACGGGAACACUCACCUCAUCAUUAGUUCCCGACAAAUAAAAACAGUCAUGUGUUUCUCUAUUUUUUUAACUAAAGUUUUUCAGCUGUCAGCUCUUGGCUUUUUAUUUAUGAUUAAAACAAUAAGUCAACAACUUUAGCUCUGUCUGGCAUUAAACUUUCAUUUUUCAUAUCUGUAAAUUUGUAAAUCUGCCCAGAAUUAUUUUCUACUAAAAUUCAGUUAUGCUAGUAUUCAUUACAAGAAACAAAUUUGAUCUUCGGUUCUUUGAGAUUGAACAAAUUAAUUCCUAAAUCUAAUCCGCCGACGACACCCAUCAUUCUCAACCUGAACGAUUCUUUCGAAGUUCGUGCAAAGGGAUUUUCCCUUUUUCAAACGAAAAAGAAGAAGACGAAUCGAAAACUUACAACGGGAAUGAAUUUCAAUCUUCAUCCUUCUCUUGAUCUUUCGACGAGAAAAAGGAAAAGAGGAAUUCAGAAAUAAAACAAAUAUGAACAUUUUAUUUUUAUUUUUGUUUUUAUUUUUGAGUCGAUGUAGGGAGGAGGGGCCAGUGCAGUACAGCGCCAUAAGUAUUUUCGAUGUGAAUGUUGAAUUGUACGAUCACCACGGAAAGGGCAUAUAGGUUUAGUUCUUCUAGUUACAAGCGUACGGUAUAUCUUUGUCUGCAUGCUGAAUUCUUUGUGUAGCCAUGGAUUUCAAACCAAACUCAAAGUUAUUGUACUUCUAAAACAGGAUUCCUUGGGUAUGUUUCUUGCAUAUAUGUACCUGCAAACUCAAAAACAUGAAAUCAACUCUUAAAACUAAAGCAUUGUUCCAAUCAACUUUAGAGAAAUAUUUUAGUUUGUUUCAAACUUUUAUGAUAUUGCAUAGUUUUGUACUCAUUGACAAUUAUUACUAUGUAGAUACGUGUUUUGCUAAAGAGCAACUUCAUCCCAAUUUUUUAGGCUGGCCUAAAGUCCAAAAAAGAGGGCGGCCCAAAACGUGUUAUGUGACGUCACAUAGGCCUACUGAUUUUUUUUGCGUUAGGCGCGUGGGAUACACACGCGAGUGAGUGCGCAUUGACAAUAGGAAAAGCACGACGAGGCCCGCCGUAUCAACGCACUAACUUGUAUCGGGGAGAAGCCACAUGGCUCGUUUUGGGCUGUUGGAUUUCUAAAGGCUAGUUUUUUGGACAGUUGAAUUUCGAACGGUCAAAAAAAUUUCAAAUUCAAACCCAACGGCUAGUGAUGUGGCACGUUAUGGGCCGUCCGAUCCCAAGAUCAACGGUCCAUGAUCUUCGUCCAAAAAACAAAAAAAAUACAAAAUGGUUAGAAUUAUGACCAUUGGCCACGUGUCCACAUUUGGGUUAUUGGAUUUGAAUCUUUUUCAAAUCCAACGGUUCAGAUUAAUUAACUUAAUAAAAAUUAUUAAAAAAUUAUUAAAAAUUGUUUAAAAUUACAGAAAAAAUUAAAAAAAAAGUUUAUUAAUUCUUUCUAUAAAUACCUAACCAUCAUCUUCCACCUUACACCACAUUUCAAUAUUUUCAACACUUUCAACCAAAACUUUCAUAUACUUUUUUUUGUGAAAAAAUGGCCCCGUGGAAGCUCAUUGAAGAUGUUACGUUGUGUCAAUGUUGGGUUCAAAUUACUCAUGACCCGUUUACGGGUAAUGAGAUGCAGUUACGAGAACUGUGGAGCAGAAUUACGGAAGCGUUUUGAGAUAGGCUUGGAGAUCGCACAAGAAGUAGUCAAGAUCUUCAAGGUCGUUGGAAAAAACUCAACAUAUCAUUUACUUGUUGGAAAAACGCUAUUUCUCAUGCUUCCACUAAUCUGAGUAGUCGAAGAAGUUUAGCGGAUCAGGUAACAAUAUUUUUAUUUAUUUAUAUAUAUUCCACCCGCAUCAAUAUUUUAAUUUAUUUAUUUGUGUUACACCCGCAUUGCGCCACAUUUGAAGAGUGGGAAGGGACGUCUAAAGAAGUGUCGAAGACCCAGCCGACUCAUCGGUCCCUAAGACCUCAAGGUAAAAAGGCGGAAAUAAAAAAAGGGAGUUCUUCCAAAAAUGACUACACAAAAUGUAUGGACGAACUUGCUCGCCAAGGUGAACUGAACAUGGCACGGGAAACGGCUAGAGAUGAGGCAAAAGCUGCGACUAUGGAAGCAAUCUUAGCAGCUAUUGAGAAACGUGAUGCGGCUAAUGAGAGACAAAGAGAAGUACAUAAUCGAGAAGGCCAGAUGCUUAGAGAAGAAAGGAUGACUUAAGUAGAUCGUGACACUAUAAACAAGCUUCUAGUAGGAAUGUCUCUGAAUUCUAAAUAUUUUUGGACAUCGGAAAAAAGAGACAUGGUGCAAAGGAGGCAUGCAAGAGACGAGGAAACAAGUCGAGGGGGUUCUAACUACACAGAUCUUACCAACAAAGAUCCAAGCACCACAUAUCCUAGCUCCUUUUCCAAUACAAAAUUUUGACCCUGUUUCCCCUAAAUCAAUAAACAUUUGUUAAUAUAUCACCAAAUUGUUUAAUUUAUGUGAAUUGGGGACACCUUACAUGCCUACAUUUCCCCCCAAAAUUUGAUAAAUUAAAUACCUUUGCUUAUUCAUAUUCUCAAAAUAUUAUCAGAGAAACUAAAGAGCUCAAGCAAGUAAGCCAUUGUUAACAGUUGCACAUCCUACUAAACUAAGAAAUAUAAGGGGAACAUCUACCAAAGGCAUCCUACACGACAAUUCUAAAUAUAAGAAAACAUGCAACCAGCAUGUAUCCAAGAGGAUCAUGGCUCUCUGUGGUCAUGAUGGAGAAAUGCUUAAGCUUAGACAGCACAUGCAUUAUAAAUUUAUAAACUAAGCUAAACAACCAUUUAGAAGUCCAUGAAUAAUGUACUUGGACGCCCCAUCACUAUCUAUUGCAUCUGUUAAUAAUUUAUUACCUAAAAGGAAAGACACUUUCAUCUCCUAUUGAAACAGCCUGUAUAAUCUAUUAAUAAUUUAUUACCCCACAAUACUUUCCCAACCAAUUUAUAUCUUAGGCCAUCUUCAACCGAUGGCUGGUCAAAUGGCUCGUUUUAGCCUUCUGGCCCUCAAAGAUUCUCCAAGAUAUUAAUAUUUUAAUAAACAGUACAAGGCAAUAUUUGCCUCCGUCUCCAACCGAGGGCCAGAGGGCCAUAGGGCUCGUUUUAGCCAUUUCACAAAAAACCAUUUCCAACCGAAGGCCAAAGGGCCAUAGGGCCAAACAUAGUUUAUUAUUUAAAAACAAAUUUUGUGAAAUAGAAGUUAUAGGAAAAAAAAUGGAAUUUAAAAAAAAUAUAUGAAACAAAUUUUGUGAAAUAGAAGUUAUAGGGAAAAAAUGGAAUUUAAAAAAAAUAUGAAAUAAAUUUUGUGAAAUAGAAGUUAUAGGAAAAAAUAGAAGUUAUAUGAAAAAUUUUGUAAAUAAAAAAUAAUAAUAAAACUGUAAAAAAAAAAAAAAAAUGCAACGGCUACUAGCCGUUGCAUUUGAAUUUUUUCUUAAGAAAUCUUGUCGGUUAUAAUCGACAGAAAUAACAAAACAUUAAAAAAAAAUAGCCAGCCCUCCAGCCCUCUCCGAUUUCGUGGGGCCCUCUCAGAUUCCAGAGUCCUCUGGCCUAGCCCUCGGUUGGAGACAGUUUUCGGGCUAUUUUCGGCCCUCUGGCCCUCUAGACCUUUCGGUUGGAGAUGGCCUUAUGGUGAAGCCUAGGCAAACACAACAGAAUCAAGAGGUACAAAUAAAGGCCAAACAACCUGUAUAAAUUUUUUAGAACCAUCCAUGGUGAUAAAACCCCAACUAACCAAAAUUUUACUCCAACGUUUCAACCCUAGUACCCAAUUCCUAACUCCCAGAUCUUAACCCAUGCUUGCUACCCCAAAAGGACAAAAUUUCAAUGUCGAUUAACUUUCAUUACCAAACAACAGAACCCAGAAUCCAAAAAGUAUGACCUUUAACAAUGACAACAUUGAACCAGCAUUAUAGUUGAGAAUAAAUAAAAAAUCCCUAAUCUUUACUCAGAUCACAAAUUCAUAAUCUUGUAGAUUGUAAGAUGAGUGAAAUGAAAGAUGGAACCUUUUUUAGCAAAGAUCAAUUACCAGCACAAAUUCAAGCUCCCAAUUUGCUAAAAAUAUGGAAGAAAAAAAAGAUAAUCACAACACAUACUUCAACCGGUCCUCUCAUUCCUUCCCAAAAAUCAUAAACAAAAUUUAACCAACACUAAAUUUUCCCAAAUUCGAACCACUUUUCUAAUCUAUCUUGAAAAACUAUAAACGCAUUUUAAUUCAACAUUCAUGAAUGGGUGCUCAAAGCGGGAAAAAAACCAAAGGAGAAAAAACAUACCAAAAAAAAUAACAGGACUGUUGAGUGCAUAAAGUUAUACUUUUAUGCCCUCUUUUACUUAGGUUUUUGACUUAAAAUCUCUAUGCAUCACAAGGUAUGUUGUUGUUUAUAUUGUAUUUCAGGAUGAAAGUAAGGGCUUGAAGAAAUCAUCUUAUUUUGAAUAUUUUAAGAACCUAGAAUGGAUAGUUUGAAGCCCAACUCGCCCAAGCCCAGACCGUAGCCCACAAGUAACCCAAGAUCAUCUAGAAAAGGCCCUUGCAAAACAGCCAACUUGCGAGCUUUGCCCUGAAGUGCUCAGAACGAAUUAGAUAAUGGGCCAUAUGUGGUUAGAAAGCCCUGGAAGUCUUCUUUCUGAUGGUCUUUACAGCUUGUGAUUUGAAGGUUUCGACAAUAAAUUAUGACAGAAUAAAGAGGAGCUGUUCAAUUACAAAUUCUGAUAACAACUAGUUUUCAAUUACUCCUAUACUAAAAGCUAAUUGUAAUGAGCUAUAAAUGAGAGUCAAUUCAAGGAUGUAAAUGUGUCAGAUGUUAGAAAACUCCUAAGCCUUUUAAUAGGAGACAAAUACACAACAUGAGGCGAGAAGAGGAGAAAAAAAACAUAAAAACAUAGAAUCUAGAGAGAGUAGGUGUAAUACCCUGAAAAACUUAAAAUAUAUGAUUAUGUGGAAUUUUUUUAUCGGAAAGUGAAAUAACUAAAAUGCCCUAGGUGGCUAAAUGUAAUGUUACGAGGACGUAUUUUAUCCUCAUAUAUUUUGUCAUGUUUCUUGACAUAUUUGGACAGAGCUUGAUCUAACAAACGAGUAGGCGCAAACUAUUCAUGAAACAGAGUUAUAACGAAGUAAUUAGAGAUGUUUUCAUUAUUGGAAAAAAAAUAGGGUUGGACGCUACCAAGUGGCAGCAAGAGAGAGAGGAAAUGUGGGAUGUGGGAAAGAAAAGGAGGAGGGGAAGGACAAAUCAGAGGAUAGAGCUAGGAGGAAGGGAGGGAAGGAAGAAGGAGGAAACUGGCCAACCCCGUUUCUCCACCCAACCUGGUUCCUUGACCCGGUCCUAACUUCUCCAUCCGACCUCCGUUUGAGGUGAUUCCAGUGUUUAUAAAAAGCUCUCAUCGAGCCCAACAUCCCUGUGUUGUUAGAUUUCUAGGUUUCUAACCCAAAUUCAUAAAUUGAAGCCACAAGACCCUCGGGUGUUCCAGCGGCUUUAUGCUUUUUCUGGUGAAUCCGUCAACGAAUAUUGUCAAUCUCCACCACCAAAAGACUUCCCUCAACCCCAGGAGCAAGGCCAAAGCCUUGGAUGAGGCGUCGGAGUUCAUUUUGGUGGCGAAUUGACAACUACCCAAAUUCUAAGGUUCUGGCGGGUUUAUGGCGAUUUGACGCUUUUUUCGGCCAAAUUAAACUUGGCCAUAGGUAUAAAGUUUGUUCCCCUUGACUUGUUCUACAAUUCUGUGAAAUUUGGAAAUUUUUUGAAAUAGUUGAAAUUUUCUAGCGAGUCGGGGCAGUCGACCGCCACCCACGGCGACGCUGGCCAGAGGGAUGUCGAUACUAUUUUUAGGCUAAAUUAGAUGCCUUAAUUUCAGUUUUGAUAUUCGUAUGACGUAGGUUGAUCGUUUAAACCUAAAUUCACUGCGAUACCUUACUUGAUCAAUUCCCGAAUUAGAUUUGCAAGUAUGUAAAAUAAAACGUUGACUGCCACUUGAUUUCGUGAUUGGCGGAGAUCCGACCGUUGGAUCAGAAUGAAAUUUUAGUAUGUUGUUCUAGAAGCGUAAGGUAAACUACGAAUGGCUUGAUCCUUUCUUUUAGGGUAUGUAAGCAGUCUAACCAGGAUGUUAGAUGCAGCCAUAAACUCAACAAAUUUUUUUUUUUUUUUUUUUUGUGGUUAGUUAGAAUUAUAAUAAAAACAAAUUUAAUAGAAAUAAAGUGACAAAAUAAAAUAAACUAAAAGAAAACAAUUUUUGAAAAUUAAAUUGUAAAAACCUAGGGUUCCGCCAUCACCUUAACAAUCUUAUGCACUUCUUCCAAUUACUUAUGAAUUACAUAUGCAUAUUUUGAAGCCUAGGUUUUCCUAAUAUAUGCCUACUUGGACCCCCAACAUAGAGCAUAUAUAAAAAAUGCAACCCGUCUGUGUUAUUCAAAUCAAAUCUAAACAUGCAUGACUUAUUAAGCUUUGUGAAACCUUUUAAAAAACCAUACAACCCUUAAGACGUGGUAUUCAUCCUAAGUGAACUUGCACAUAUUAAUCACAAGAAGCCUUUGUCAAUUUCAAGGACUGGCCUCCGACCAAAAUUGCAUCAAAUUAUUUUUCUAAAGAUCCUAAUGGGAGCUUAGCAUUAAGACAAAUAGAUAGUUUAAACCAGUGAUUAAUAAUUCAAACUUGCAUGCAUAAUAUCAUAACCAAAUUGAAAAGAAACUACAUAUUCUUGCUAAGGCUCGUGGCAUCACCCUAGCAAACGGAAUUUAGUUACAAACAAUCAUACAACGAAAUAUUAUUAAAAAUAAGGAUAGAAAUCACCUUGAAAAUAAACUUGAAUCCAAAGGCUCUCUAAAGUGUGCAUGCGUUUUUUUCCUAUCCCCCUAUCUUCUCUAAAAAAACCCUAAUGGCUAAAAAGCCUUAUUUAUACUACUAUAAAAUAAAACCCUACCUAGAAAAGGUCUUGGAAUAAAACUAGGAAACCAAAUAAAUUAGAAAACAAAAUCCGAUUAAUAAAAUUCUCCCAAAAUCUGCAGAGUCUCAAAACAGCCACGUUUCUAGAUCUUCAGGGCUCCAAAACAGGCCCAAAACGGCUAGAAUUAAAGCUUGAGAUGUUCUGAGCAUAAUUGUAUAAGGCCUCAAACCUGAAAGACACCACAUUGGAUGCCAAAAAACCCAAAGAAGCCCAAAACGUUUCAUUGACAGCACUGCGCACUGCUCAUUUAUUUGAUCGCCAUAGAUAAAGCGCUACGUAUUGAAUUAUGAAACUUUGAUACAAUCAAUUCAACAGACUCACGAACAUCCUCCAAUUGGAAUCACUCCAAAAUUCAUCUGUUUGAUCACUUUUGGCUCCAGAGGAAGUCGAAUGUCCUAUAUUAAGAAUAUAAAUCAAAGUAUUAAAAUUCUACCAAAAUAACCAAUAAAUUAAAAUUAAGAAUAAGGUAAAAUAUAUAGUAUAAUAUAGACUCAUCAACGUGUUAAAGUAAAAAUAUGGGUUAGGGGCCUUAGGCAGUUAACUAGAGCAGGGUGUCAACCCUUAGCAUUCAAGUUUGAAACUCUUUUUUUUUUUUUUUUUUUUUUUAAUUUGAAUAGUUUAUAUUCUUUGUUUGACAAGACAAAAUAUAUUUUAAAGUACUCGUUUUAUGUGAAAAGGGAAUCGAACUUGGGUGCAAAUGGUUAGACCCUCCCAACUGGUUGACACAAAGCCAGAGAUUUGGUCCAAAAUUUGGGGUUUGGUUGGGUUCAAAAGCAAUGAUACAUGCAUAUCAGAUUAGGCAUAUUUACCAAUUGACAUCCAUAUUUGUUGAUUUGAAUUAAACAUAACAAAACAACACUAAUAUUCCUCAUAAAACAUGAUCAUUUUUCUUUAAAUUAAAUAAGACAUAGCACUUUCCUAUAACUUCAUAGAUUGUAUGUAAAUAAUUCACUAAGCACAGAACAGGAAUCCCUCUCAAGUUUUAUUUCUCCUCUCUUAGUUUUCAUGCCUCCACUUUUUCAUUUCGGGCUUUAGCACCAUAAGAUUCCUUGCACCCAUUCAACAAUUUAGAUAACCUUGUGGCCAAACUUUGCUUUGCUGCAGGAGAAACACCGUGCUUUCCAACGAUCGAUUCUAGAACUGCCUCGGAAAGUAGUUUGUUUUCUAUCACCGUGUUUGCAGCUUUAGGUACGGAUGCAUCUCUAGAGAAGCUGAUCUGUGGCGAAAACGAGGGGGAAAGAUGUCAAAAUCCGAUGUAAACUACAGAAGUAACCAUCCAAAAGUAGGAUUACUAACCGUUAGUGAUCCUUUGGGAGAUUGCGUGAAAAGAAUGGAGGCGCCGGGUGGGAAGUUUUGAUCUUUGAAGACUUCAAGGAACUUUUCAAUGGCUUUGCCUUCUGCAUCAGUGUAAAUUCCGAUUGACUUCCAAAAGGCAACGCAAUUCUCCGAAACUUUGUCAGAGUAUUGCUGGCCUGUCAGUGGCAGUAUCAUUGUCACUUGAAUGAAUUUCUCAAACGGACCUACAAAAGGAUAGCGAAGAUCAUAAACCGUGCUACAAAACUUUAGUCAUAUCUUUAGUAACUGUUUCCUAUGCCUCAAGUAAUCACCAUAACCAGAAGAUAGCACUACAUUUUGAGAGAUUCAUUCAUUCUAAUUGGCUGGUCAGGACUAAAUUACCACCAUAACCAUGAGCAUACAUAAAUUUAAAAAUGAGAGUAUAACUCAAGAAAUCUACGACAUUUGUUGAACGUACAGAUCUAUAUCGGCAACUGAGGAAGGGCGGGCUAUAGGAUUGCCUAGGUUUGGCAUGACUACCGAUCAUUCUAAAACUGCUCAGCCCGAAGAUGCAGGGCAUGAAUGAUGUAACAAAAUUCAACCAGUCGUUAAAAACAGCGAAGAAAUCCGUGUUACCUGUAACGAUGUCCCUGAAGAACUCAACGGACUCCGUCAACUCCUCGGCCGUCUUACCCUUCCACUUAACGGCGAGCAGAGGCACGGCGUUUUCCUCCAAGUACACUCCGAUCGCCGUGAACUUCACGAAGUUCCCCUGAAUCUCCAGCCCCCUCACCCCUGCGCACGUUAGCAACCAAAAUACCGUCAAGCGGAAGCAAAAGCAAGCAACAAACAUUCAAACAAUCAGAAUCGCAGAUAAAAGCGCCGGAGAUGCGAAGUUUACAAACCUGCGCCGCCGAGGAACAGAGUGUUAGAGGAGCCCGGAGGUUUGGCGGACGGUGGAAACGCAGUCGUCUCGACCUGGAGUCCGGCGAGCGAUGGCGUUGGAGCCAUUUGACAAUUUUGUUGUUAUUGUGUAGAGAGAAAGAUGGGGUUUGGUUUCGGAAACGGUGGGUUUAAAUGGAGAUGGAAAGUG
RNAcentral lists this long non-coding RNA (52625 nucleotides) under Malus domestica (apple). Its description in RNAcentral is "long non-coding RNA (MDOM_LNC001016)". Lineage: Eukaryota; Viridiplantae; Streptophyta; Magnoliopsida; Rosales; Rosaceae. The record is from RNAcentral.